Molecule: non-coding RNA, 79335 nt
Organism: Podarcis lilfordi (Lilford's wall lizard)
Lineage: Eukaryota; Metazoa; Chordata; Lepidosauria; Squamata; Lacertidae
Source: the annotation of a GenBank genome assembly
AGAUGAUACGCAGGCAGCUCUUGCUAUUGCUCAGCGGCCCACUCUGGCAUUAGACAAUUACAGCUGAGGGAGGAGCUAGGGUUACAAACUUGUCACACACUGGAGCUGCUAACUUUCCAUCCCGGAAAUCUCAUUUGGAAGGAAGCUACAGACCAGGACGUGAGAGCAAUGAAUUAUCGCACGCCUGCCCCAGAUUCCUGGAAGGCUGCACCAAUCUUCACAAGCUCUCCGGAAACAAAGAAACAAAUCCUAGAAAUCGCCCGUUCGCAUGAUUUCUGAAUCAAAGAAAGUCACCACAGUGUUCUCAUUUUGUGUGUGGUUAAAGUGAGUCUUGUGAACGCACCCUAGUGAGGUAAGUUACUAGCGUCUGGAAAAAAGUAAUAGAUAUCCAAUGUUCCGUGCAGCAAUAACUUAUCACAUCACAGUAGUUUGCAAUACAAGAGUAACAUUUCAGGUUUAGGGGGUUGUGUGGAUAGUGUCAUUAUCUGGUUUGGUCACUAGAUGGCACUUUACUUUGUGGAAUCUCAGUGAAGUCAGGAGUGUCCUGUUGCUGUUCUUGUUUGAGAAGACAAUAAAGUUUUUGUCUAGCUUCCUGAAGAGUGUCUCCUAAGCCUUCCAGGACAGGUGUGGAAGAAGCAAUCACAACAAGUUUAAAGUCUGCUGUUCCUGUGUAUAUAUAUAUAUAUAUAUAUAUAUAUAUAUAUAUAUAUAUAUUGCUCAAAAGGCAGGGUAUAGUUUAAAAGCAUUUGCCAUCCUUACUUAAAGAAAAAUGCUUUGUGCUAAACCGAAGAAUGUCCCUAAAUAGUGGCUCUCUAGACUACUUUCCUACAUGAGUGUUGAAGGAAACACUAAUCUAGCGUUGAUUGCUCUACCCUCCAAAAGUGGUGCACUUUAGCUCUGAUAUUUAUUCAUUUUAGGAAUUUAUACCCCACUCUUCACCAGAAGUCUCAAAACAACUUAUACUAUCUGCAGAUAUUAAAGUGAUUCUGUGAAGUGCAGCCCCAAACAACACCAGUCAUACCUUUCCUCCCAGAUCAGCAGAUUUCAUCCCUGCAGCAUUUCCAUCUUACCUGGAUUACAUCUAAAUAUUAACAUUUAAAUGAUUAAUUAACUUUAUCUGCUUACAGGUUUUAUGUCCUGCCUGCCAUCAAUGACAGAGUGUUCAAAGCAGCUAACAUGUUUGAAUAAUUUGACUAUAUAAUACAGUCGUACCUUGUAAGUUGAAUGCCUUGCGAGUCGAAUGUUUUGGCUCUUGAACGCUGCAAACCUGGAAGUGAGUGUUCCGGUUUGUGAACGUUCUUUGGAACCCGAAAGUCUGAUGGGGCUUCCGCGGCUUCUGAUUGGUUGCAGGAGCUUCCUUCAGCCAAUCGGAAGCUGCACCUUGGUUUCUGAACGUUUUGGAAGUCGAACGGACUUCCGGAAUAGAUUCUGUUUGACUUCCAAGGUACAACUGUAUCAAUUUUGAAUUUUGAGGUGUGACUAUUCAGUGGAAAAUUCACAAUUUCCCAAGCAGCUGCAGUUGGGCAUGGGCUUGUUGUGUUUUGUUCGUUUGUUGUUGAGACACAAGAGGCAGUAAUCCAGCAAGAAUUUCACAAACCUGCAAUUCAAAUAAGUAGAUGCAACUGGAAGGAAAACAUGGUCAAUUUACAUAAUUUUGGUAUAUGGUGAUAGGCACUGGGAUUGUUUAGUACAGCAUGUGAAGCACAUUGUCUGCGCAGCAGAAGUGAAGAAUGAUGGAAGAAAAUAGGUACAUUUGUUUUACAUUAAGUGAACAAGGGGUUUAUCACACGGCACUGAAAAAGCCAUAUGGACAAACCAUUUCCACAGGGUAUUGAGCUAUGUCCUGCCAAGGAAUUAUUGCAAGAUGGUCUUAAAACUAUAUGCUUUCCUUAUUCUCUAGAAACGACAUUUUCACAUUUAGCGGUCUUAACUCUGCACAGUUUUAUGCUACCCAAUAUUUCACUCUGAAUAUGCUAACAUUUCUAGAAUUUCAAAAUGCAAUGUACAUUAGCAAAAGUGUGUGAUCUUGUUCCAAGACACCCAGGCAGACAAUAUUAUACUAACUAGCAAGGUAUGAUUGCAGGCAAGCUCUUGUAUUCGGCUUCGUACAUACUACCAGCUGGGAGACCUGCGAUCCCAUGGAGAGAUCUGUGUGCAUUCUGGUGACAGGUUUGGUUUGAUACUGAGGCAUAACACACAUGGAAAGCAGGCAAUCAGCUCCAUCUAGAACUGCAUGGAGCUGGCCAGUGACUCCUAAAGUUGGAUGCUGGGCAAUUAUUGCCUAGUUCUGAUGGAAUUUGGCCUUACCAUCAGCCUGACGAAGACCAAUAGCUUGGGUCAGGACAUCGCCAGCACUCCAUGCAUCAGUAUUGGUGACCAUAUGCUAGAGGUGAUAGACAUUUUUGUCCACCUGGGUUCCACCACCGCCAAAAUCUCUCCAUUGAUUCUGAGCUGGACAAAUGUAUUGACAAGGCAGCUGUGGCAAUGGCUCACCUCUCCAAAAGGGUAUGGGAGAAUGUGAUGCUAACGUCCAAGACCAAAACGAAGGUCUAGCAGGCUGCUUUAUGGAAGUGAGCCUUGGGCAACUUACAACUGCAAAGAGUGACGCCGCAGUGCUUUCCACAUUCAUUUCAGCUCAGCCAAAAACAACUGCUUGCUUUUUAAUAUGCUUUUCUCCAAAUGACAUGAAGCAGAGAUUUCCCAUCCGACAAAUGCUGUUCAACAGCAUUUGUAAAAUAGGCCUUUAGUGUAGUGGUCCCUAAUCAAAUCUUAAAUUUCAGCAUGUGAAUGGUACACAAAAGGAGUGUUGGCUGGAAGUCUGAAAUUAGAAGCCUUUUACAGUGUAUAUGUGGAAAGCACAGUUGUCUUCAGUCCCAAACAAAUCUCUUAUAAAUGGAUGUGAUACGUGAGGGAAAGACAAUCCUUUCUCUUUUUUACCUGUACUAUAAUAACAACAUUGAUACAUGUUAAGGUCAGUGCUGCUGGCUAGGUUUUAUUGUGCACUAAUGCUGGAUCUGUCUUUUUUUAGAGGACAGGAGGGGGAAUUACUCUGAAAUGGCACUUGAUAUGCUAUAUGGCAUUGCAGAUUUAGACAGUCUAAUUGUAGAGCUGAAAUCCAAAAAGGUCUUAUCAAAGUGCUAAAUCCCAAAGGACCCCUUUUCUCCCUACAGACAAUAGCUGCAAUUUUGCAAGCAGUAGAGUUGCUGAAACUUCUUAGGCCCUCAGUCCAGAAAAACACAACUGAAAUCAUCAAGACAUCAGGAGAUCACAGCUAAUUUGUUCCCGUGACUCCAGUGGGACUUAAAAGCACAACUUCCUUGCUCGGGUUUGGGAAUGCAGACUUGCAGCACUUCCAUAUCACCAGGGUUUUUUCCAGGUGGGACUCAGUGGCAUACUGGUCAAUGCAAGUUGUGGGAUUAGAGUUAAUUGGGAGGUCUUGUGCAACCAACUCCUUUCCUGGAAGAGGCUGCAAUUAAAAUUCUUGAGCAUUUCGAUAAGAUUCAGCGGGAGAUCAAGGGAAGGCACACCUGAACACCUGGAUACCCUGCCAGCUACAAGGGGUUUUAUCAUGGGAAAGCUGCUCAAAGCCCAUGAAACCCAUGAAAAAUGAAACUAGAUAUUGCAUAUCCUGCAUUCAAAGAUAACGGAAUGCAACCAAGAAAGAACAGAGAUUUAAUGGGGAAGACUCAUCCCACAAUGGAAAAAUUAAGAAACACUCAUUUCCAUUCUGGUCAUUUUCACUGACAGUGUAGAAUUGAAUUUGGAUUGGGGAGACCUGGGAGAAUGUUAGCACCAGACUACCCAGCAAGCUCCCAGUGGGGAGCUGAGUUCCGCUCUCCCUUCUUAUCCCCAUUUAUGGGCAGAUUUAUGCUGGUUUAACAAUCAUUCCAUCUCCCCAUGAUACCUCUAGGGGUGGGCAAUAUUUUUUAAACUAGGGGAACAUUCCAUUCUGGGCAACUUUUGGGGGGUCAUGUGCUAGUGGCAGACAGGAUGAAGCCCGAAUGGUUCAGAUCAGGUCAGUUUGUCUUGGAAUCUGCAAAGACUGACUUCCUCAAGCAUCCAUAGUUUAAAGCAUGUUCUUAUUGCUCAUGGCCACAGCCAGUAGAAGAUACACUGAACACAAGUCCCCAGCAUUCAGUUUGUUAUACAAAUAAGAUGAUCUUCACACACAUACCCAGCAGCAUGGGAGUUGCUUCAGCAGGGUAUGAUCCCAUGGCGCGGGGCUAACAUUUGGUUGUCUCCGUGAGAUGGCCACACACAAGCAUGAAGCUCUCAGUAGCUCAGUGGUGCUGGCUUUGAUCCUUGACAUUUCCAGCCGGGUCUGGGAAAGACCAUUGCUUGAAAUCCUGGAGAGCUCAUAGAAUCAUAGAAUUGUAGAUUUGGAAAGGACCCCGAGAUUCAUCUAGUCCAAGCCCUGCAAUGCAGGAAUCUCAACUAAUGCAUCCAUGACAGAUGGCUAUCCAACCUCUGCUUAAAAACCUCCAAGGAAGGAGAGUCCACCACCUUCUAAGAGGGUCUAUUCCACUGUCAAACAGCUCUUCCUGUUAGAAGGUUCUUCCUGAUGUUUAGUUGGAAUCUCCUUUUUGUAACCUUGAGCCUUUUGUUUGAAUCCUACCCUCCAGAGCAGGAGAAAACAAGCUUGCUCCAUCUUCCAUGUGACAGCCCUUCAGAUAUUUUGAAGAUGGCUGUCAUAUCUCCUCUCAGUCUCCUCUUUUCCAGGCUAAACAUACCCAGUUCCUUCAACCGUUCCUCAUAAGGCUUAGUUUCCAGACCCUUGAUUGCCUGGGUCGCCCUACUCUGCAUACAUUCCAGCUUGUCAGCAUCUUUCUUAAAUUGUGGCGCCCAGAAUUGGACACAGUAGUCGAGGUAUGGUCUGACCAAGGCAGAAUAGAGUGGUACUGCUAGUUCCCUUGAUCGGGACACUAUACAGUGGUACCUCGGGUUACAUACGCUUCAGGUUACAGACUCCACUAACCCAGAAAUAGUACCUCGGGUUAAGAACUUUGCUUCAGGAUGAGAACAGAAAUCGUGCUCUGGCGGCACGGCGGCAGCGGGAGACCCCAUUAACUAAAAUGGUGUUUCAGGCUAAGAACAGUUUCAGGUUAAGUACGGACUUCCGGAACGAAUUAAGUACUUAUCCCGAGGUACCAUUGUACUUCUGUUGAUGCAUCCUAGAAUAGCAUUAGGUUGGUUUUUUUAUGCUGCAUCACACUGUUGACUCGUCUAAGUUUGUGGUCUACUGAGACCCCUAGAUCCUUUUCACAUGUAUACAAGGUUUUCCCCAUUUUAUAUUUGUGCAGCUGGUUGUUCCUGCCUAAAUGUUCCUGUGAUUUUGUUCCCCACCUCCUUCGAAGCUCAGGUCAGUUACUAAGUGUUGUUUAAAGGCUGUUUGUUUUCCACCCUCUUCAGCCAAAGGAGCUGUUUUUCAGCUGCACUUCUUCCUUUUCUAUGGUUGUUUUUGGGUUCUGCCUGCUUUGGUUACUGCUGAGACCGGGUAAUUAGCUGUCAUCUUGUCAAGGAGCAUGUUCAUUUCAGCUUGCCAUUCUUCAUUUCACUCUGGGUUUGUUAAUUUCACUCCUGUUGGCUUCAGCCUUUGCAGCCCCUGCCAGUUUGACAGCGGGACAGCUGCUUAAGGAAGGCACCAAGCAAAACUUGAAAGCUAGAAAGUGGUGUUUAUUCAAAGAUGGUAUAAGACGGCAUUUAGGCAAAGAUGGCAUGGAGUGCCACCUAUGUGUGUUUUCUAAACCAGAACUGGAACUCAAGCAAAGCCAUAAGUUGCCCUUCAAAUUGGAACAUGUAUCUAAAAGUGGCCCAGGUAAAGAACCACAAGGAAGUAUUGUAUCGCCCCAAAAUCAAUAUUGACUCGUUAGCACUAUGGACUAUGAGAACUAGCCUUUGUUUGGUGUUGCUACUUUUGGCUUAUGGAGAUAUUUUUUUCAUUGUUUGUUCCAAUUGUCUGAAAUACUUUGCAUUUAUGUACUGUGUACAUGCCAAACUGUGUGCAUUAGUGAUCACGGAGAAAGACCAUAAGGUCAAAAUGCAGCUGGGUUUAUUUUAUUGAGUGAUUUCGGGUUAUGGUUGCUUGUAAUUGUUUAUGUUUGCAAUAUAAAAUAAUUUUAAAUUACAGUUCUCGACAUUUUCACACCAGUUUGCUUUCAUGUUCCCAUGAAAAUCUAUCAGCAUUUUCACACGAAUUUCUCCUAAUGCACACAUUUUUGUAUGCAAGCUUGUCCAACAUACACAUUUUAAUGGGUAUUAGCUGUCAGUCCUGCAUUUCCAGGGGUUGGACUAGAUGAAUCUUGUGGUCUCUACAAUUCUAUGAAUCUGCUUCAUUUUUGCAGAGCAUUUCCUCCUAAUAUACUAUGUACAUGUUCACUAAUAAAUGUAUUUUUCUGCAGCUUAAAAAUAUGUUGUAAGCCACUUUGAAUCCCAAUUUGGAAGAAAGGUGGACUAUGAAUAUAUUAAGUCAAUUAAAAAAAAAUUUAGUGUUGUUGUUGUGGUUGUUGUUGUUUUUUUAAAAAACUUAACAACUUUCAGGGUGUCCUGGUUGUUUAUUUUUGAAAUAUAGCAACCCUAGCAUAUACAUUUUUGUACAUAUGAUUGGCUAUAGAACUGCAUUGCAAUAUUCAGAGAACUGUGAAUUUUCAAGGUUCGUUGUGUUCUGGUUCACAUAUUAUUUCAGAAAGUGUGAAUGAAUUGAAGUGUUUCCCCCCCCUGUAUUUCAAAUGUACUUCAACUCUGAAAAUGCUGAGAUACCUACCUUUAUCAUAAACAUUUAAGUCAGCUGUCUCUCUUUCUGUGUGUGACAAUGGCCUCAUUUAUACAAAAUGCUGUUAUGGUUUAGCAUUUCGAGGAUGAGCUGAAGUGAGCCUUCGACUCCUGUCCUUCUCCCUCCUGCAUGGGAAUCUGAGAGUUUGGAAGAUUUCCCUUCAGUUUUAAAUUAACCACAAUUUGUUGUUAUGUCUGAGCCUGGCCAAUUUUUGGUUAUUGUUAACCAUGGUUUUUUGAAGCAAGCCCGCUUACAAACCUGGCUUGUUUCAACAGACCAUAGUUAAGGUUAACAAAAAAAAAUCAAUCAAUCAAUAAAUAAAUAUGGGUAAGUGAAGCUUUCAAACUCUUCCUUGUGACCAUGCUGGAAAAGGAGAAGGGAGCGUGUUAGCUGCAGCAACUGUCAUAAUGCUAAACCAUGGUUUAGCAGUACAGUGGUACCUCGGGUUAAGUACUUAAUUCAUUCCAGAGGUCCGUUCUUAAUCUGAAACUGUUCUCAACCUGAAGCACCACUUUAGCUAAUGGGGCCUCCUGCUGCCACCGUGCCACUGGAGCAUGAUUUUUGUUCUCAUCCUGAAGCAAAGUUCUUAACCUGAAGCACUAUUUCUGGGUUAGCGGAGUCUGUAACCUGAAGCGUAUGUAACCUGAAGCGUAUGUAACCCGAGGUACCACUGUACAUGUGAACACAGCUAAUGUGUCUGAUUGCUGCUACCUACAAAAAAUGGUCCAGUUGCCAGGGCUAGCAUGGCAACAGUAUUCUAAAACACAGACUGAGCAUGGAAAGACAGGUGAAAUAAUUUUGUACCAGAUUCUGGCUUCAUUUUCCUGGGAGACGUUUUGGAAACAGGCCGUUUGCCUCUACAGCUCUCUAGACUUAACAGCUCAAGCACAACUGCCCAGUGUCACCGUCAGGAAAAGUUGUUAACUGCGCUUUGCCUGUUUUCUUACUGAGAUAAAACCUUAAGUGUGGUUGCAGGUGUUGAAAGGUGUGAUACCAUGCAGGGAGCUUGCUUGGAAUACAAUGGGGUUGGUAUAGUCUCGUAUUUCUGGCAGCUGUCACUUGCCGGGCUUUCUAAGAAUGACUGCAAACACAGAGAACAAUUCAUUAAUAUAAAUGUAAAUGCAAUCUUGGCAGCCCUGUUUGAUCACGGCUAUAAAAGGAAAAAAGCAAACCUUCAGAUUUCAAGAUAACGGGUUCAUUUGCAUGACCAGUUUUAGGCAACAAGUGGUGGCAAAGACACCACAAGAUUCAUUGUUUUUAAAAUAUAGGCCUUGUUGGCAGCCAAUUGCCCACUGCCAGUAUCAUGGCCUUCUUAGUUACUAUUUAUUGGUUCAGUCCAGAUUUCAUGUAUUUCGCCCCCCUUUGGUGAGGCUUGCAUGUGGUUACGUUUCCUACUUUCCCCCCUUUUUAAUGGCUCCUUAGCCAGUUAUUUACCCCCAAACAAGGAAAAGCUUCUAAUUCUGGAAUCCUGAAACUUCCCUGUAAUCCGUUUUCAUUUUUUAAAAAAGCAAUUUCAUGAGAUAGUUAAAUGACCCCCUUCAUAUAUUCAGUGAGUGGGGUGGUUGGUGGUGGGUAUAUAAUGAGUAAUGGAUCUAAGUGGGAUGAUUUAGAAAGGGAACAGUAUGUUGUAUGGAUUCAGCUCCCAGAAUCCAUGACUAUAGCCCAUGCUAGCUGGGACUGAUGGGAGAUGGAGUAAAAAGAAAACUACCUGGAAGGCCUCAUAUUAGUUAUCCCUGCAGUAGUGGCAAGCAGGGAUUUUUCCUCCCUCUGGUCCUUGGAGGAAAGCAAACCUUGGCAGCCCAUUCUGUUGUCCAGUUUUCUGAACUGUUAAUUUAAUACCUCAGUUAACCAGCUUCUGGGUUUAUUGUACCCUCCCCCCAAAAAGAAAAACACACAUGACCCAUUUGAACGCCAGCUCUGUGGUUUAUAACAUUGAAAGAGUGAAGUCGCUGUCAAGGGGCUAAUAAAGCUCCCACUAAACUUAUGACAGACCGGGAUGUGACAUUGGGGCCUCGUGACACACUUUUGGGUUGUGAUGGGGUGGCGUGGAGAGCAAAUUUUUCAGAAACAUUUUGGAAAUAUUGUUUGGUUGUGUAGCUGAGUGCUGACGCAGCAUCAGAUAGGAAAUCAAAGAGCAAACAAUUCAGACGAGGGAAAGCUCAGUGUUUCUCUACAGGCGGGGUGAGGCAAAGUUCCUCAGGAGAGUGAGUGGCAGUUUGCCAGGGCGGGGAGCCUCUGGGCAAUACAAACACAGCCAUCCGGACCGGCCAGUUCCUGGGUUUAGACUGGCUGUCAAAAAGGAAGGAAAGCAGUUUAUAGGAACUCCAUAGAAUGCGAGUGAGAGAGGAAACUUCGAAUAUGCCACAGCGCCUGAAAUCUCGACAUAUCAGUCCAUAGGACGAAAGCAAUCUGGUGUUUUCUUAAUGUGUAUAUUAUUUAGGUGUGCAGUUUCACUAAUCUAUGGAGAGCUGGGAGCUUCUCCCAGGCCUACCAUUAAGCAGGACUAGAAAUGGUUUUUAUCACCAUGGGGGAGGGGGCGCUUGUGAGAAGUCAUUCUCUUAGCAUGGCAGAAUCAAUUCUCUUGUACUGUUUAUGACUCCUGCUAAAGUUGGGGUUUAGGUAAACCUGCCUUCACCUUUAUUUUUAUUCUGAACCUGGCUCGCUAGUCCAACACUCGAAUCACUGAGGUACUCUGCUUGCUGAUAUUCAAAUUGUGCAGGAUAUGCAUGACUACAGAUGUUCAUUCUUGUAAGACGCAUAAGCAACAUUUCAAACUUAUUUUCUGGGUAUACGUUCUGUCAUUUUCAUACGGGGGUCGAUUCAGAUGCCUCCCCACGUGAAACUGAUUUGCUGCGCUCACCACAGAAGGACUGGGCCACAUUAAAGACACCACAUCAAAAUGUACGUGCAUGAAUAGUCCAAAGACAGCAGAAAAGUCUCCUAAGCUUGUUAUUCCUUGCUUUCACUUGCAUUAAGAACCUUUCCAGAUGAUUUUUCUUCCAGAAAAACCCAGAACACCUAGAUUUUAUCCUUAGCACUAUGUUUACAUAACCUUAGUGCUAUCCAGUACCAGUAAUGCAAUACUUUGCUAGUGUGAUUAAAUGUGUCUCGGUCACAUGGAAACUUGGAGAAGAACCCACACUUAAUUGUUUUGGUGGCAAUCGCUUUUCUGCUGUAAUAAGAAAUGGGCCUGUGAGAAAUAUUAUGAGGUCGAGGAGUCAGGAAAAGCCUUUAUUCCUGUUUUCUUAUGUGAAUACGAUAAGACUAGUGUCUAGCCUUUCCACUCCCAGAGUGUUCCAGAAUAUUGGUGACAGACUCUCCAAGUGCCCCUAUUUUCCAGGGACAGUCCUGGAUUUAUGGAAGCCAUCCUGGUUUUUGAUUUGCUCCACAAAUGUUCUGAUUUUCCUUAGGAGGUCUCUAUUUUCAUUGGAGAAAUGUUGGAGGGUAUGGAGUUAUGUGACUCCCCAAGCCAAGGAGAUAAGUAACUAUACAACCUCUAGAAGACAUCUGAAGGCAGACCUGUAUAGGGAAAUUUUUUAACGUUUAACAUUUUAUUAUGUAUUUAUGUAUGUUGGAAGCCAAGAUGGGUGGAAAUAAUCAUAAUCAUAAUCAUAAUUGAAUAAAAAGGUAACGGGAUCCCUGACCAUUAGGUCCAGUUGUGGCCGACUCUGGGGUUGCGGCGCUCAUCUCGCUUUAUUGGCUGAGGGAGCCGGCAUACAGCUUCCGGGUCAUGUGGCCAGCAUGACUAAGCCGCUUCUGGCGAACCAAAGCAGCACAUGGAAACACCGUUUACCUUCCUGCCGAAGCGGUACAUAUUUAUCUACUUGCACUUUGAGGUGCUUUCGAACUGCUAGGUUGGCAGGAGCAGGGAGCGAGCAACGGGAGCUCACCCCAUCGUGGGGAUUUGAACCGUCGACCUUCUGAUCGGCAAGUCCUAGGCUCUGUAGUUUAACCCACAGCACCACCCGCGUCAUUAUUGAAUAGGACAUCCCUAUUUUCAUCGGAUAAAUGUAGAAGGGUAUGUAGUGGUCAUCAUGACAAGUCUUGUUGAUUUAAACAUCAUGCAUAUGGUGAAUGCAUAUAGAGAGAACAGGAUCAUUCUGCUGUUCACUCAGUCAACUGUACCGUCUCCUGUAUAUAUGAUUUGUAGAGUCUGUAUGCAUUUAGAAAUUGUAUAGGCCAAGGGUGGAGGAACACACAGAGAAGGACCUCAUUUGACGAUCUGAGAGUCUUGGCCAGGGUUUCCCAAACUUGGGUCUCCAACUGUUUUUGGACUACAACUCCCAUCAUCCCUAGCUAGCAAGACUAGUGGUCAGGGAUUAUUGGAAUUGUAGUCCAAAACAGCUGGAGGCCCAAGCUUGGGAAACCCUGAUCUAGGCCAAAUCCUGCCAAUGCAGGAAAUAAGGUGAAUGCAUGUGGAGAUAGCAGGAAAUUCACGAGCACCGCAUCGUAAUAGGGCACCAUCUUCCAAGACAACAUUUGCUGCUGCUCUGUGGAACAGCUUGUACCAUUAGGAAAUUCUUCUUCAAGUUUACUCCAGAUAUAUAAUAUUUUGUUUUAUGUUCCAGAUUCCAUGUGGUGAACCAUUCUGUGCUCCUAUCCUGGAGGAAUGGUGCAGUCUAGAAAUGACAUAAUAAACAAGCAUAACAGAGAAAUUUUAGAAACAGCUCCCUUGGCUGCUUCUGUCUACCCCCCAUCCCUCACAAUUCUUCUAAUAAAUUUGUAGGUUUGGGCAAAAGUUAUAAAGGGAUGGAGAAAGGAAACUGAUACUCUAGAAGGCUAGUCCAGAAUUCACUCAGGAGUGACUAAGGGAAUUCUGAGGCAUUAGUUCUUGAGCCAUUUCUGAUGGGUUUCGCUAUCGCUAGUGGGAAGACUUUUCAGAGGGCAGCAUGGUUCAGAAGGAUUUGUUGAAAGUUCCACUUUCUACCCUACAGAUGUGCCCUUCAGGAUAGCAAAUGAAUCCUAAAGUGCUGCUGUGUGGUCAGUGAUACAGGGCCUCUGUUAAUCAUUCAGGGUUUCUUUCCAAAAACGUUGAAACCAAGCAAGGGAAACUUUUCUUCCCAACAGUUUGUUCAGAUUUGGAAUUACAAUCGGUUUUAUUGUGAAAAUGAAAGCACUUUUUACAUUCACCCUAUAUAUUAUAUAACCAAAUCACUCCGCCAUACCAAGGACUUUUGAAGACAAGCUUCCUUGCCCAGUCCCUCAACAACAAGAGCUAAUUCCUUGAUGUGAAAACAAUCAAAGGAUGAGCUCAUUUCCGAUUUCACAUAUGACGCCAAACAUUUCUCUCUCUCUCUCGUAAACAAGAUACGCUGGCAGAACCUCCUCCUCUUUGCCUGCUGUUUAUUAACCGAGAAACAGGCCAUUGAUUCUUAUCAAGCCUAUCUGGCCAAAUGAACUGCAUAUUUCAGAAUGGAAGACCUGUAUAAACUAGCUGGCUGCUUCCAUCCGAGCAGCUAAGAGCAUUCUCCAACUUCAUCUGGAAAUGGGUCCCUCGCAUACAGCCCUGAUAAUGACAGGAAGAAGGGCAUGGAAUCCCAGACUGAAAAUUGCCACUGCCAGAGCCAGGACUGAAAGAAACUUUUCAGCCGGGAGCUCAUAUUUCUAGAGGAUGAAGCAUAGAUUGUGGCAGCACACAGUUAUGCCACCGGGACUUUUCCAAUUAGGAUGGAUGGCUGUGUUGUCUGAUAAAUUACAUUGCUUCUAAUUAUAACCCCUUCCCUUAAGAGUGUUGAAAAUCUAAACUGGAAGAAGACUGCACAAGUUCCUUAUAGGAUUAAGCGAUUUAAAGAGGGAUAAAUAGGGAUAAACUGCUGAAUGCCCAUAGACUUGUCAACCUUGGUCCCAUUUUUUCCCCAGGGAGCAGGAGAGAGGGGAGGUCAGACGGGCACCAUAAUGCUUGCUGGUUUGAUUUUGGACAUUGCCACUUUUAAUAUUUUCUCUAAUUUGACAUCGGCAGAAGAACCCAGUGGAUUAGCCGCUGUCUUGCUUCUUAAAUCAACUCCUUAAAUCUCACAUUGCCUGCGCUGAUUAUUCUCAUGCUGGGAGUACCGUAUUUUUUGCUCUAUAAGACGCACUUUCCCCCUCCUAAAAAGUAAGGGGGAAUGUGUGUGUGUCUUACGGAGCGAAUGCAGGCGAGAGGCUCUGUCAGCGCUCCCUUUAAAGAGACGCGUGGAGCGUGUGUGUGGCUCUUGGGAGCUUUUCCUGAGGAGGAAUAAUCAAUAAAGCAAUAAGCAAUAAAGCAAUAAUCAAUGUACUGGACUAUAAAAUAAAUAAGACAGAUGAUUAAUUUUUAAAAAAAAUUUUUUUUUUUACCUGCACUGAUAGUCAUUGUUUGGAUGGGGGGCUUUUAUCCAUUUCCGCAGUCACACAAUCAAUCAACCAACCAACCAACCAACCAACCAGUAGCUGAACUGGGUUCCACAGUCACAAAAACCAACUAACCGAAAAAGCCUCAAAAACAAAAAAGCAAAAUAAAUAGCAAAAACAAAAGCGCCAAACUUAAUCCGUUCCGGAAGUCCAUUUGACUUCCAAAAGGUUCAAAAACCAAGGCACAGCUUCUGAUUGGUGCAGGCGCCCCAGAAACAAUAGCCGACAGCCACAUCAGACGUUUGGCUUCUGAAAAACAUUUGAAAACUGGAGCACUUACUUCUGGGUAUUGGCGUUUGGGAACCAAGGCGUUUGAGAACCAAGGUACUGUACCGCUGUAGAGAUUCCAAAGGGUUAGAUGCCACCACAAUAAGGGCUUGGUUCCUAUACAUAUUGUAUGGACCCGAAUGAAGAGAAAUGAAGUUUGCAGCUCAGCCAGCAGAUCUGACCUGGAACAUUUUCCAAGGGCUGACCCCUUCUGGUCUUUUGGUAUAAGGAGCCUUCCUUGGUUAGAAUCUCGGCAGUUCUCUUCUUUGGUUGGAGCUGGGUAGCAGAAUGUUGACUAGGUCCCUACUUGACAUCCACUGUGCUUUUGAGUCUGGCAGCCAUCUUAAAAUCUCUCCUCCCUUUCCAUUGCACACCUUAACUUCUUUUAGAUUUUUGUGUGUGUGUCCAAGCUUUAUGAGAAUGCCAUCUGUUAAAUAACAUAGUAUGUUAUAUAAAACCUUGGCUUCAAUACCUCAGUGUUACGCAUCACUAUGUGAAGCUCUAUAAUACAGGACAAUACUUGAUACAAAUUCCUGAGCUUUUGCUUUUCGUGAAACUCCCCAACCCAGAUCUAUGGCCCCUCCAGACUGUAUGGUUUAUUUUUUGAGGGGGUGGGGGAGCAGGUGGGUGUCUUCUGCAACAUGUCAUUGAUACAGUAACAGUGCAUUCACAAUGGAUUUACACUGGAUGGUCCACACAUUAUUCUACUUUAUUAGUUGUUCCACAAUGCUCCCUCAAUGUUACCACUUUAUUGUUUGCUGCCUGAAGGACCACUCUUGUGCUAUAGCACAACGAAAGCAAGAACCCCCCUACCCCGCCCUUGAAUGCUUUGUGGUAUGAAAAAUUUCAGCCGGAAGCUACAGGGCAUGCACCAGUCAGAAACAAAACAGUAUGUCUGCCUGAAAUCUUUGGCUACCACAAACAGUAUGGAAAACGGGAUCUCAUAUAAACACCCUGAUACCAACAGGAGCACAAGUAAUCAUCAGUGAUAAUUAAAAAGGCCAUUUGAAACACACGUUCACACUUAAUUCUGACCUGAAUGUAACUUAAACUCUUCCACCUUACAGCAUGUUCUUGUCGCUGUUGAAAUUAUAGCACAGAAUGACAGCCUAAAGUUCCAUAUUUCUAAAUGGUUUUCCCCAUCAGCAGGGAAGGAGACAAAUCAGCUUUCCAGGGGAAAUAAUUGGACACUCGCAUGUGGUCACCAGCACCAUCUCAGAGGGAGCCUGAAUGUGCAACAGUUGUGCGUUUGCAUGUGUGAAAGCAUUUCAAAUGUGCGCACAUUUCUGGUGACGAUCUGAGUUAUCUGACAGUCUCACAUUGGAGGAAAUGCAUGUCCAUGAUUCUGCCUUGCAAAUUGUGUCCUGUUGCAUACUGUGAAAAGAAAAAAAAAAGUGAUGAGAAUAUAUUUUAACCUUCCUCAGCCUCAAGGGGAGCCAAACAAAGGGGGGGGGGAGUCAAAUAAGCAAAUUGCCUUAAAACCCUCCUGUUCUUAGCUGUGAAUAGCACUGUGUUGAUGGGAUUUUAUUUUAAAGGCCUUGGAGAAAAUAAUAAAAAUGUAUAAUGAGACAGAUGCUGGAGAGUGUCACUGACAAACUCCAUCUUCUCUUAGAAAUUUCCUCAUCGUUAAGCCAAAGUUAACAAGAGUUGCUAGUGAUACGUUGAAAUCAGUGGAACUCAGAAUGCAGUUCUUUGCUUUGUUUUAACUGUGCAGAGGACUGUGGUAAAAAAGAAGUCAGAUUUUGUGCACGGUUGGCCUCAUUUUUUAAAGAAACUUUCAGUGUUUCCAUUCUUUAUUCAGAUCUCAUCCCUGCAUAUCUUGCCCCAAGCAAGGAAGUGAGCCAGUGUUGCACUUUUAAAAAAUUAUAAAGUCACCUUCCUUUGAAAAACAACCUGAAUUGUAGAGUUGAGCCCUAGUUCAGCUCCCUGCUUUUGCAGACCCUCCAAGUAUCUCUAUUUUCCAGGGACAUCCUGAUUUAGAGAAGCCGUCCUGUUUUCUGAUUUGCUCCCACUUUUCUUUAGGGUGCCCCUAUUUUCUUUGGAAGGGACACGGGUGGCACUGUGGGUUAAACCACAGAGCCUAGGACUUGCUGAUCAGAGGGUUGGUGGUUUGAAUCCCCAUGAUGGUGAGCUCCCGUUGCUCGGUCCCUGCUCCUUCCAACCUAGCAGUUCGAAAGCACCUCAAAGUGCAAGUAGAUAAAUAGGUACCGCUCCGGCGGGAAGGCAAACGGUGUUUCUGUGUGCUGCUCUGGUUCACCAGAAGUGGCUUAGUCAUGCUGGCCACAUGACCCGGAAGCUGUACGCCGGCUCCCUCGGCCAAUAAAGCGAGAUGAGUGCUAGAUGUGAGAUGACAUCGCGUCUGCACAUGCGCAGAUGCCGGAAAUCACGUCUGCACAGAUGCUGACGCCAGAAAUCGCAGGUGUGCGCGAUCCGGCCCACGGAGGGAUCUCCGCUGGAGUGAACCAGCCUAGGCGGGGUAAACUUUGCCAACCCCUGGUCUGGAGUUAUGCAACCCUGAGCCGUCUGAAGGUAAUCCUGUAUAGGGAAGUUUUUUUAUGUUUAAUGUUUUAUUAUGUUUUUAUAUAUGUUGGAAGCUGCCCAGAGUGCUGGGGCAACCCGAUAAGAUGUGUGGGGUAUAAAUAGAAAAAUUAUCAUUAUGGAAUGGGACGUCUCUAUUUUCACCGGAGAAAUGUUGGAGGGUAUGCUUUUGAUGUCUGAAACAUACUGACUGGGGCGAACCUUGCCAUUAUUAGCCAUGAGGGUAUAUGGUUGUUUUUAGAUGUGUUGAAAUAUGUGUGUGUUUGUAAAUCCAUAAGCAGAGUUUGGAGUGCAUAGGGUGCUAGGAGAGGAGUAGUACCUUGAGUCAAGCGGGUGGCGGGUCCUCGAAUCACAACUGCAACCAAGCUGGUGCCAAACAUAUUGCUCUGUUUUCCUUUGGACCACAUCAGGGAGACGUAGAGGGGAGUCUUGUCAUCUGGGCAUCUCAGGGUCUCCAUAUACACCAAAAUGCCACCCCCCACUGCAACUCCUCCCUCUAAUCUUCCAAGUUGCUUUAACCUGCAGUAGGAAAAAGAGAUGGGGGAUUUAUUUUUUAUUUAUUUUAUACCAGAGCCAGGGUGUAUCCACAGCCUUUCUCAACCUGUGGGUCUCCAGAUGUUGCUGAACUACAACUCCUAUCACGCCUAGCUAGCAAGGCCAGAGCUCAGGAAUGAUGGGAGUUGUAGUCCAACAACAUCUGGGGACCCAAGGGGUUGAAAACCGCUGGAAGGAAUUUGGUGAUGCAUAGUUCUACCCUGAGACAUAUGUUUUUAAAAUAUAUAUGUUGGCGGUGGCGGGGGGACAGGGAGAAAGAGAGAGAGGUUUGCAUGAGAAUAUUUUUUUAAAUGCUUCCAUAUGUAGUAAAGGAUGAAUUUCCGGUGUUUGAGAAAACAAAUAUUUGCAAUUUCUUUGUUUUGGUUCAUUAUAUCUGUUUAAAUUCUUCCUGCAGCAUGCUAUGGAGCAGAAAACAUCCCGGACGUAGGUCACUGAAUGCAAAGGAGUUUUUGUUGUUGGCUUUGGUGAUACUUGUGAAGUACUGAGCACUGUACUGAGCACUGAAAGUUUGUAAAGAACAUUUUCCACUGCCACCCCUGGCCUCCAGCUGUCUGUAGAAACUGGAGUUCCUCCAUGUGUUCAACAUUUCCCUUCCCCCAACCCCUGCUGUCUGAGUGGAGAUGUCCUACCGACAAGAAGGGAGCUGUGUUUUGUUUUCUCAUCACCUCAUAAACCAUGGGGUGUGAGGACGGAGUUUGGAUGUUCGGUAAUACUUGUCACAGAACAAACUCCAAAGGGAUGAUAGUUUCAUUCUCUGGCCCACAAAGGACAGUUGCAAGGCAUAGAUAGAUAGAUAGAGAGAGAGAGAGAGAGAGAGAGAGAGAGAGAGAGAGAUAGAUGAUAGAUAGAUAGAUAGAUAGAUAGAUAGAUAGAUAGAUAGAUAGAUAGAUAGAUAGAUGAUAGAUGAUAGAUAGAUAGAUAGAUAGAUAGAUGAUAGAUAGAUAGAUGAUAGAUAGAUAGAUGAUAGAUAGAUAGAUGAUAGAUAGAUAUAGAUAGAUAGAUAGAUAGAUAGAUAGAUAGAUAGAUAGAUAGAUAGAGAUAGAUAGAUGAUAGAUAGAUUAGAUAGAUGAUAGAAACAUUCCAAUAGAGAACUUCACUUAGCAUGCUUUCAGGUGAUAGAGUGGGCUGUAUUUCUUCAUACUGCAGUUGAGGAGGGGGUGGUCACAUAUGUGAAUGCUCACCUGCCCUACAAACUCUCAAAAAGGCUCAUAGAACACCUCACCUCAAGACGGAGAUUGCAGUGCAGGGAAAGGUGCAGAAAAGGGCAAGCAAAACGAUGAAGGAGCUGGAGCAAUGAAGAAAGAUUCUCAAAUUUGGGGCUAAUGAGAGAACAUUAUUGAGGUUUCUAAAAUUAUGCAUGUCCAGAUAAAGUGGAUAAAGUGUUUGUGGGAGUGCGCACAAUCUCCAUAAUCAUGACCAGGAGGAACUAGCUGACUUUCCAUGAUAUACGGUUGCCAGAGGUGGUUGUUUCUCUAAAUUUGUGUUAUGCCACACUUCCCAUGGCAGCCAUUUUGUGUUAUGCCACUCCCCCUCCAUGGUAGCCAUUUUGUGAAUUUUGUGACAUUGCCCGAGCACGUGCUCUAAAUUUGAAAUGUGCCAACUGGUCCAAAAAGCUUAGCGACCUUGGCGGUAUUCAGUUGAUCAACUGUGCCAUCUAAGCUAUUUUGCUUUUCACUCUGUCCAUAAGGUUAAAGGUAAAGGACCCCUGGAUGGUUAAGCCCAAUCAAAGGCGACUAUGGGGUUGCGGCGCUCAUCUCGCUUCAGGCUGAGGGAGCCAACUUUCCGGGUCAUACGGCCAGCAUGACUAAACCACUUCUGGCACAAAGGGACACAGUUACGAGUGCCAGAGAGCAUGGAAACACCAUUUACCUUCCUGCUGCAGUGGUACCUAUUUAUCUACUUGCACUGGUGUGCUUUCAAACGGCUAGGUUGGCUGAAGCUAGGGCAGAGCAACGGGAGCUCACCACUGUUGAGCGGAUUCAAACUGUCAAUCUUACGAUCAGCAAGCCCAAGAGGCUCAGUGGUUUAGACCACAGCGCCACCCAUGUCCAACUCUGUCCAUAUCUAUCUAUCUAUCUAUCUAUCUAUCUAGCUGAAGAACUGCGAAAGAUAUAAUUUUUAAUGCUCUUAAAACAGUAAUUUCAGGACUCUAGUCCACAAAUCACUUAAGGCAAUUAAUUUCUACUUAAUUGGCUUUAUCCCUGUGGAUUCUAAUGGAGCAAGACACUUUAGCCGCACGUUUCUUGGCUUAAGUAGCUUGUGGAUCUUUGCCAUAAUCUGUAAAACCAUUAAAAAAUUGAAUGGAUUUAUUCAUAGUAUAGGGAUCAUUUUUCACCCUCUCCCCUCAUAAACCUCCAUAUGCCUGAACCAUUUUGUUGCUUUUAAUCUUAGCAGAAGUUUUUACUUGUAACUUAUAAUUUAUUGUAACAUCUUUCUUUAAAAAAAAAUGGUUUUAAAAAGGAAGGAUCAAGGGGGAUGGGGGGGGAGCCCCAAGUGUAUUGCAGACUCCAGAAAAUGUCUCAUUGUUUCUUAAAUAUAAAGUACCCAUCUUCUGCCCCCUUGAUGAUAACUGGCAUGUUUGAAUCAGGCUACACUAUAGGUCACAACACUGUGCUGAAUGAUUAAUAAUAAUAAUAAAUAUUUGCUAGGCGCUUUAAGUCAUUAAUUCAUCAUUUGGGCCAAUAACAAACCAGCAAAAAAGACAUUAAUAUUCCCAAUUAAUAAAAGGCUAAUUGAAGAUGAAUUAUAACGAUGCGCUCAAUGCCACCUAAUAAAUUUAGUUUCUUGGGAGAAAUGAUCAUCAGGCUUGGGUGAAAAGGCAAUAAAUGAUGAUUAAGUCAUUGUGGGACAGCCAGCAAGGACUCAGCUGUCUAAGUUUAUUACAGCAGGGAUCCUCAACCUGGGAAUUGUAGCUCCAUUGUGGGAGUAGGGGGUUUCCUAACAUUUUCCAGCUGCAGCUCCCAGAAUCCUUUUGGGGAAGCCGUGACUCUGUUAAGUGAAAGAAUAGUGCUUUAAAUGUAUGGUGUGACUCAGUUUUAAAUCAGGGUUCCCCAAAGUUAGGUCUCCAGCUGUUUUCAGAUUGCAACUCCCAUCAUCCCUAGCUAGCAGGACCCAGUGGUCAGGGAUGAUGGGAAUUGUAGUCCAAAAGCAGCUGAAGACCCAAGUCUGGGAAAGCCUGGUUUAGAUGACCUCUUGGCCCAAUCCAGCAGAGCUGGGUGCAGUCCUAUGUUCACUAUUUUACACAACAUGUUUAUUGCCACAUUUUUUUUAAAAAAAAAUCUACCCUGAGCCUUUGAGAUGUGACAAGUCCCACCUUUAAAGAAAUAAAUCUACCUCUCUUUGUCCAUCAGCACUGAAACAGUGGUAAGCAGUAAACCUAAUAGCCUAUUCAGCCAUAUAUAUAUAUAUAUAUAUAUAUAUAUAUAUAUAUCCCAAGAGUUCCCUCCUCUUGCUACUCCCAGCUUUUCUUUUGCUCGGUGCUUUCCAGCUUCUCGGAUAGCUGGGGGGGCUGGGCAGGCGAGCUGGGAAAUUGUUUACAAUAUUUUCACAUGAUGGCGAUGGCAGAGUUCUCGCACUCUCUGAAAGGCCUUCUGUUUUCGGAUGGCAUUGAAAGUUUACCGUCUUCCCAGACAAAAGGAAGGGAGGCCGUUGCCAGCGGAUGAGUAAUGGGCAUGGCCUCAGCACAAUGCCCUCCUAUCCAGGCCUAAAUCUACAUGGUGUUCUAAGGCUUCCCUCCUUCUCCAAAGCAACCAUUGUCUGGCCUCCGGGAGACCGAGGCCACUCAUUGGAUGUGGGGAAGCAGCCAAAAAAAUGGUGUGUGGGGAGGAGGAGGAGGAGGGGGAAAUCUCUCUGACAACAACAGUUGCUCAGUGCCCCCACUAUCUGCCUCUUUGCUCUUCUGCUACGGUCCUUGGAAAAUUUUCCGUCCUGGGCAUGGUUUUUAUAUACCGAUAAGUUGCAGACCAUCUGUGGUACACCUAGUUCCCAAAGAUUAUAGAAACUAAGUUUAAGUGUUUUGUUUCUUUUCUUUUUCUUCCUUUAUCUGCUUAUGCUGAUGAAGUGUUCUGGGAGGAGUGAUAAAAGCAAAAAGAGAGAGCUUUAUUUAGUGUAUUUAACAGCGGGAAAUGAAAGUCCCUGUCUUUAUUUCCCCAUUUGCAGAAAGGGAGGGUUGCUUUUAAACCUUCAUUAUUAUUACAGUCAUACCUUGGGUUGAAGUAGCUUCGGGAUAACUAUCUUUGGGUUGCGUGCUGCGGCGACCCAGAAGUAAUGGAGCACGUUACUUCUGGGUUUUGCCGCUUGCGCAUGCGCAGACGGUCAAAAUGACGUCAUGCGCAUGCUUAGAAGUGGCAAAUCGCGACAUGCGCAGGCAUGGGUUUCGUUCGCUUCUGGAUGCGAACGGGGCUCCGGAACGGAUCCUGUUUGCAUCCAGAGGUACCACUGUACUUUUAAAAAAAAAUUAAUCCUCUAUUUGAAUGCAUGUUUACAUCCGCAUAGUUUAGACAACUCAGAUCAUUAUUACUCCCUUCCUCUGUGUCAUUCUAAGCUCUGAGUUACUGAGAAGGGCAAAUAAUUAUAAUAAUCAUAGUAUCAGUUCAGCUUUCAGUCUUUCUCUUUCAACUGAAACUAUUUGGAAAAUCAUCCAAAUAUAUUUCUUGGCCCACUCACUUGCCACAACGCAGGAUCGAGCAACUGAGGAGCAAUUCUGAGGCUUUCACAAUGCAUUUGCUAAGUGUGGCAAAAUAAAAAUAAUAUUGAAUGCCCUUGAAUGUUCAAGCUAAUGAAUGCCAGCAUCAAGUCCUGAUUCUUUCCUACUAAUUUAAUUUGCUCAAACAUUGUGUUAUUGUGCAUCAGCAGAACAAAAAGCUGGGAGAUAUUUUUUCCCCAGUAGAAGCUGCUUGCUGCAUGUUAUCAGUAGAUAAAACCACUUUUAACUUAGAGUUCUGGCCAUCUUUGGUACAACCAAUAUGUUAAAAACUGUUUUUGAAAACUAUUUGCCAGAUGCAUCUAGUUAAGUUUAAAUCAUCCGUUUCAAUCUCAAAACUUCUCUUCCUUCCAUUCCUUCGAAGGAGGGAAAAAAAAAAGGGAGUUAAAUGUUUAAAACUCCAUUAGAAUAGUUUGGCAUUGUUCCCUGUCCUGAAUAGCAUGUCAGCUGAAACACAUUGCUAAAGCAAACGAAAAGACAGUUUGAAAGAGCAUGACCAUACAGAAUUUCCCUGUGGUUGCUCUUAAAGAAGCCUUGCUCCCUCGCCACCCCCUUUUCUUUUUAAACGUUUGAGAUACUUUGCAUAAGUCAUUGCAACUGAAGCAUUGGCCAGUACAUGUCCCAUUGAGCACAUGGGACAAUUGCACAAAACUACAAUUGUGCAGUCAUUUUGUACCAUUCCCAUCUGCGCAACACUAUUUAUUUAUUUAUCUUGAAAAAGCAUAACCUGCUUGAUGAGAAAAAAAAAUGUGGAUAGAAUCCAACUGCAUCCCAUAAACCUAUUAAAAACAAAUAUGCAUAACACCGUCGUUGUUAAAAACAAAGAUAAAAUCAAUAAAACUUUGAAACAAAUACAGGUAACUAAAUCAUAAGAAAAAUGUUUGGCAGAUAUCUAAAACAAUAUAGUAAGGGCACCAGCCUAAUGUCAAUAGCCAGGGAGUUCCAUAGUACAAUUAGGGAUGGAGGAGAAAUUCUCUUCAGUUUGCAUUUAAUGCAGAUUUUAUCAAUUUUGCACUUUCUGAAUCAAAUAAUCAAUCAACGUGAGAACCCAAACACAUCCAUCCAUUGAAAUUCGCGCUUAUCCCAAAACAGCUGCAGAGUUCCCCAACCAAGCAAUGUUUCCAAAAAUGUAUAUAGUUGGGGAAAAUAUGUGUAAAAAUCAACAUAUUAGGGGAAAUAAUGUACCAACAUAUAUUGCAUUCAGAUAAAUUGUUUGCAAAAAUCUGUGCAUUAAUCAAAAUUGCCUGCAAAAAAAAUGUGUCUGUUAGGAGGAAUUUGCACUCAAAGGUUGAAGAAUUUUCAUGAGGAUUUUUUUUUAAAAAAAAAUCACUAAUGUGGGGAACCAAAUUUAAGACUGGAAAAACGAGAAACCGAGAGAACCAACUUUUAUAGGUCCUUCUAUCCCUGUCCCAACACACAGAGAUCCGAGAGAAGCCCAUGCAUGCACAGGGACAUUGGAAGCAGGGUUUGUCCUGUUCCUCUGCACUUUUAAGCCACAUGUGCACAGGCAGAUAUCUGAAGAGGGCCAGAGUUGGAAGAACCUCAAAGGACAUGUAGUCCAACCCCCUUGCAGUUUCAGGGAAUGUGCUCCUACAGCGUCCCUAAUCAGUGGCCGUCCAGCCUCUGCUUAAAAACCUCUAAUGAUAGUGAGGCAGGUAGCUUGGGUGUCAGAAUCCCUGUUUAGGGAAGCUUUUAAUGUUUAAUAGACUACAGUGGUACCUCGGGUUACAUACGCUUCAGGUCACAUACGCUUCAGGUUACAGACUCCGCUAACCCAGAAAUAGCGCUUCAGGUUAAGAACUUUGCUUCAGGAUGAGAACAGAAAUCAUGCUCCGGCGGCGCAACAGCAGCAGGAGGCCCCAUUAGCUAAAGUGGUGCUUCAGGUUAAGAACAGUUUCAGGUUAGGUACGGACCUCCGGAUCGAAUUAAGUACUUAACCCGAGGUACCACUGUAUUGUAUUUUAAUAUUCUGUUGGAAGCUGCCCAGAGUGGCUGGGGAAACCCAGCCAGAUGGGCGGGGUAUAAAUAUUAUUAUUAUUAUUAUUAUCAUUAACCACGAUGGCUAUGCCCUCCACAGUUGGAGGCAGCAAUGCUUCUGAAUUUUGGGGAAACCACAGGAAGGGUGAGCCAUUGACCUGAAGCAGCAGGCUGUUCUGAUGUUCUAGCCACCAGGAAUUCAGAUGAUGCCUUCAGAUGUCUUCUAAAAGUCUGGUAGUUGUUUUUCUCUUUGACAUCUGGUGGUAGGGCAUUCCACAGAUGCCACUACUGAGAAGGCCCUCUGCCUGCUUCCCUGUAACUUCCCUGGACUGAGGCCUUUUAGUAUGUGUCUGAGCACAAUCCAAACUGUUGGUGUUGACCUUGAAAGGCCUACACAGCUUUGGCCCUGUGUACCUGAAGGAGCGUCUCCACCCCCGUCGUUCAGCCCGGACACUGAGGUCCAGCUCCGGGGGCCUUUUGGCGGUUCCUUCACUGUGAGAAGUGAGGUUACUGGGAACCAGGCAGAGGGCCUUCUCAGCAGUCACACCACUUUGGCGAAUGCCCUCCUGGCAGAUGUCAAAGAGUUAAACAACUAUAUAAAUUUCUGUAGGCAUCUGAAGGCAGCCCUGUUUCAGCAAGCUUUUAAUGUUUGAUGCUAUAUUUUUGUUGGAAGCUACCCAACGAAAAUAAUUUAUUUAUAAAUUAUGAUGAUAAUAUUAUUAUUAUAAAUAAAUAAAUAUCCUUUUUUAACUGUGGUGCCCAGACCAGGACCAGGUGAAUACUGACCAAAGAAGGAUUGAUGCUGACCAAACCUCUACCUUUCAUUCCUGAAGCCAGAUAAAAUUCCACAACUCCAUUUAUAUCCCCAAAUUGACUGGACUUUAAAGGUUUCCCUGAGAUGGAAGGCAGCCUAUGGCACGCACCCAGGACACUCCACGCAAAUGCCUGAACCAACUUUGAAGCUAGGAAGCAGUGCCCUUUGUUGGUUGACAUUCCAGUGGUUGCAGGAGCAGCAUGCCUCAAGGGCUGGCCUCUUAUGUAUUCUAUUGAAACAGGUGAGAAGGAGUGUGGAAUUUGCAAUUUGAAAGCAUUUGCAGCCAAAGAGAAGGGCUGCGGAAUGGUAGUGGGGCGGCAGCGGAAGGGGGGGGGUUGGCCUACAGCCAGUGGAGAGGGAUUGAGAUUGCUUGACAGGGAUAUUUUGGCUUGCAGAAUGAGGGAGGAGCAGCUGCUUUGACAUGAGAGAGUGAGUUUUGGACAUCAAUGAGGGGUGUUUGGGAAGUGAGCUUAAAAGAUUGGGAUAUGGAACUCACCUUGGCCUAAAAAGGAGAGAAUUAAAGGCAGCAUUAGACAGUGCUGAGAACGAUGUUCACAAGCGAGGCAUUGGCAAGGGGAAAGUUAAAAAACAACCACUGGUCCUAUUGCUGGCUCCCUUCCUUAUCAAAAACUGUCUUUUUUCAGUGAUGAAUUAUAUAUCUCAUCCUGGACUAGGAAUGCUCGAGGGAUUUGAUCUUUGUGGAUUCCUGUAUUGGGGUAGGGAACCUUAAGCUCUCCAGAUGUUGUUGAACUACAACUCCCAUCAGCACCAGCAGGCAUGGCCAAUGCCCAAGGAUGAUGGGAGUUGUAGUUCUGUAACAUCUGGAAGGUCAAAGGUUCCCUGCAUUGGCCCUACAUGAAUUGACCUGAUCUAUACAUUUUGGACUAACGUAUAGAUUUCAGAGGCAGUUUUUUGCACUUGCAUGAAUUUUUCGAUGCAAGUUCUCAGCUUAAAAAGCAUAUCCAAAUGCGUAUACUUUGGCCACGUCUACACGGUACGUUUACCAAAGCUACAAUUCCCAGAGUGCUUUAACAGUCAAUCGCUCUUCACAGGAAACCCUGGGAACUGUAGCUCUGUGAGGGGAAUAGGGGCUCUCUGAACAACUCUCAGCACCUUUAACAUACACUCUGGGGGAAGCCAUGACUGUUUAACUCUUGAGAGUCCCAUGGACUGCAAGAAGAUCAAACCUAUCCAUUCUUAAGGAAAUCAGCCCCGAGUGCUCACUAGAGGGACAGAUCGUGAAGCUGAGGCUCCAAUACUUUGGCCACCUCAUGAGAAGAGAAGACUCCCUGGAAAAGACCCUGAUGUUGGGAAAGAUUGAGGGCACAAGGAGAAAGGGACGACAGAGGACGAGAUGGUUGGACAGUGUUCUCGAAGCUACCACCAUGAGUUUGACCGAACUGCGGGCGGCAGUGGAAGACAGGAGUGCCUGGCGUGCUCUGGUCCAUGGGGUCAUGAAGAGUUGGACAUGACUAAACGACUAAACAACAACAACAACAACAACAACAACAACAACAACGACUGUUUAAAGUGGUAUCAUAGGACUUUAAAUGUAUGGUGUGAAUGUGGCCUUUGACAGCUCUUGUGACAUGUCUGGUGGGGCAGAACUCUGGAACUGCCCGGAUACUGGUCACAACUGCUUACCUGGACAGGGCUGGUUGUCUCUGUGGCAGCAACACCCCCAAUCCAGCAGCCCUGCUGCCAUCAUAUUGUGGUCCCAGAUUUUUACAGAUUAAUUAAUGCAGAGAAGUGAAGAAACAGGCUUACUUAUGAAUGACCUGGAUCAGAACUCGAAAAGUCACAUGGAAGAGUAGACUCAUCAUCUUGCCAUUUGCUGAGUGGAUAAUUUGAUUUUGACACUCUUUGGAAAUCUUUUAGCUCUGGGGUGGCAGAAGUGUCUGAAUUCCACUGAACUCGGAGUCUUUACCCUAAUUUUAACUGCAACUGCUACUCUUUUCAGAGCCUUGUAUUGACAGUGGUGGUGAUGGAGACUCCACCCUCCAAGCACCUUGAUUCUUUGGAAGUGACAAGGCUUUUCUUGGGUUACUUCAGCUUUACAAUGGGACCAAUGUCCUCUACAUCACUAUUCCUGAACCUUGGGUCCCCAGGUACGGGUGGACUACAACUCCCAUCAGCCUUGGCCAUUACACUAAGCUGGCUGUGGAUGAUGGGAGUUGUAGUCCACCCAGAUCUGGGUACCCAAGUACAUGAUAUAAACUAAACAGGUCAACCAUGCACCUUCAUGCACUUUUGGUUCCAGUUUUAGACUUGUGACACACUUCAGUCUGUAUUUCCUUGGUCAAUUGCCCGCUGGGCCAUGACAUUACCCAGCUAGGCUCUACCCCUAACCCAACCUACUCAUAGUAGACAAGAGUGUUCCUAUUUUCAUCUGUAAAAUAUUGGGGUAUUACAGUACAAGUGUUGAUGGAUUUCAGCUGUUACUCACAUUCAGCAGCUUCUCUGUUUUACCUUCUGCUAUAUCAGUUCAACAGGUGGAAACCAAUACAGCGAAACUAUGAAGCGGCUAUCUACAGCUCAAAAGCCUUCAUAAAGAAGAAGGUUUUGACUAGUUUGGCUUUCUUGCUUGAGAUGUCUGGAGAUUGCUUGGAGUUCACAUGUGCUUGCUCUCUAGCUUACAUUUAUGACUUGCGGGUGAUUUGGGUGUGUCACUAUGUGUGAACUGAAUGGUUUUUAGGUAGCGUGAAAUUCCAUAGCUGGAAUCCAAAGUGCUCUUUUGGAGUUAGAAUCAUAGAAUUGUUGAGUUGGGAGGAACCAUGUGGAACCAACCCUCGGCAAUGCAGGAAUCCUUUUGUCCAACGUGGGGCUUGAACUCACGACUCCGAUAUUAAGAGUCUCAUGUUCUACUGACUGAACUAGGCCUUUUAGAUUCCCAAGCGGUUUAGUCAUGCUGGCCGCAUGACCCAGAAAGCUUUGUCUCUGGACAAAUGCCUGCUCCCGCAGCCUGAAAAGCAAGAUGAGCGCUGCACCCCAUAGUCACCUGUGACUGGACUUAACCAUCCAGGUGUCCUUUACCUCACUUUUAGAUCCCCCCAUGCUAAAAUACUCCAUUUGUAACAGUUUCAAAACUCAUUUGCUAUGGACACUUGUGUGUGUCUGGCUGUGUAUACACCAUACCUUUAAAGCACAUUCAAAACACAAUGAUUUCCUGCAAAGAAUUCUGGGCACCGUAGUUUACCUCUCACACAGUUACAUCUCCCAGCAACCCUUGGCAAACUACAGGGCCCAGAAUUCUUUGAGGGAAAGAAUGUGUUUCGAACGUGCUUUAAGGUUAUAGCGUGUACACAGCUUGUGCAUUGUUUGAGAAACACAAACACAGCCUCCCUUGGGGGUUUGUGCAGAACUAGUUACAUGGUUCUUUGGAUUCUGGAGGAUGAUUGUAAUUAGCAGUGAAAGAAAAGGCUUGAAUUGCAGGGUAUUCUUAACUAGCAUGUUUUCCCUCAGAUUUGAUCUUCUCUCCCCAGUCGUUUUCCUGAGAAGGCAGGCUUUUCAGACUCAGUGAAGAUGAGGAUGAAACGUAUCAGGUUUCUUUAACUUCUCAUUCAGGAGGUUUAAGUCACAUCUCAUAUUUCAUAAACUUUUGCAGCAUCAGUUCAAGCCAAAAAGCUCUAGCAAUGUUUUGAGAAACUAAAACUCCCCAACCCCUUUUGAACCUGGGUCAUCAUAAGUGGACUGUGCACUGGCGAUCUUGAGUAAGUAGACCCAUGUUGUUGUUAUUCUUUUUCUUUUCUUUUCUUUUUUAAAAAGAAAUCACACAGAAAUGCCUUGUAAAGUGGCCUGGUUCACACGAGAAAUGAAGUAUGAGAUCAUAAAGACAUUAUACCAUGAAUGCUCUCUUUCUGCUGCUCUAAGAAUAGGUGGCUUGGAGGGUGAAAGGGUAGCAUUUACAUUUAAAUACACCUAUUGGGAACACACAAACAGAAGGCUAAAACUGUGGCACCCUCAUUGAAACCUUUGGGAGUUUCUGCAGCCUCUUUGGUUCUUUACAUAACAGUCCCUUUGCUCUUUCUCAAGCGAGCAAAUAUAGGAAGCCAAAGGACUCGUUGGCUGAAAAGAAACCCAGCCCUCAAAAGUGUUUGCAUGGUUGGACCGACUGACUAAUUAUUUUAAAACAGAAUCAGUGUAAUUUUCAUGCACGUUCAGCACGCUGGUUGUUCAUCAUCAUCAUCAUCAUCAUCAUCAUCGCAGUACGUUAAUUAAUUGCAAUAAUAUUUAUGUACUAAUAUUACCUUUGUUAUCAUUUUAAAUUUCAACCGCCGAGAACCCGUUUUCUAGGUGACUUGCAGAACGAAACUAUUGCAUGGUCUUUAAAAACCCAAUAACUUAAACAACAAAAAUUGAUGAAAAAUAAUAACACAAAGCUUUCCCUUGUGGAGAGAGAUGAGCAGAGCAUUUCCACCCUCUGGAUAUGCUGGCUGGAGGGAGAUAGGACUGAGCAGAGUUGAGUUUGGGGAGGAAAGCUCAGCAGGCAUUCAUAGAACCAUAGACAGCAAGGGCCAUUAUUUAUUAUUUAAAAACAUAAAGGUAAAGGACCCCUGACAGUUAAGUCCAGUCACAUACGACUCUGGGGUUGCAACACUCAUCUUGCUUUACAGGCCGAGGGAGCCAGCAUUUGUCCACAGACAGUUUUUCUGGGUCAUGUGGCCAGCAUGACUAAGCCAGAGCAUUGAACGGAAACAACAUUUACCUUCCCGCCGGAGUGCUACCUAUUUAUCUACUUGCAUUUUUGGCGUGCUUUCGAACUGCUAGGUUGGCAGGAGCUGGGACAGAGCAAUGGGAGCUCACCCCAUCGCGGGGAUUCGGACCACUGAUCUUCUGACCGGCAAGCCCAAGAGCAGGGGUAGGCAACCUAAGGCCCAGGGGCCAGAUGCGGCCCAAUCACCUUCUCAAUCUGGCCCGCAGAUGGUCCAGGAGUCAGUGUGUUUUUACAUGAGUAGAAUGUGUCCUUUUAUUUAAAAUGCAUCUCUGGGUUAUUUGUGGGGCAUAGGAAUUUGUUCAUUCCCCCCCCCAAAAAAAAAAAUAUAGUCCGGCCUACCACAUGGUCUGAGGGAUGGUGGACCGGCCCACGGCUGAAAAUGUUGCUGACCCCUGCCCAAGAGGCUCAGUGGUUUAGACCACAGCGCCACCUGUAUCCCUUUUAUUAUUAGUAAUAUUAUUAUUAAUUAAUUAAUUAAAUUUACCUACACCCACAGGUCUUAGGGCAGUUCAUCAAGUACAACCCCCUGUAAUGCAGGAAUCCUUUGCCCAACAUGGGACUCAAACCCAUUGAUAAGUUUGCAGCCAGCAGAAGCUGGGCUUAGGGCUCCAAACAGGGCAUUUUGGUGUCAGGGCAGAGGUGUGAUCCAGAUGUGCAAGCACACCUGCCCAAUCUUAACCAACUCCAGACAUCAGAUCUUGGGAGGUAGGAUUUAUCUUUCUGUCUCUGUUAGGAAAGCUUUUAUGUUGCUGUUUGCUCCGCCCACUUUUGCCUCUGGCCCCGCCCACCCCCAGCAUGUGGUCCUCCCAGAGUUUUUUCAGAAAGGAAUGUGGUGCUCAGGACAGAAAAGGCCCCUCAACUCUCCCUUUCCCCUUGCCCUCAUUCGUUGGGCAUUUUUACUCGUUUCUGAUCUAAUGAUGCAAGCGUUCCAACAAGCCUCAUGGGCCAAGUACAAUGUUGCUUCAUUUUCCCAGAGAAAGUGAACAAACAUCUCCAGCGUAUGCCAAGGAAUGACUUAUGGGUGGCAGAACACUUGCCACCUGGAGCAAAUAGAAACCAAAGCCGUGUGGAAUGAGGUCCUCUUGCCAGCGUGAUCUGGCAGCCUCCUCUGAGGAAGCUCAGCAAGAGCAUCAAAACACAACAUAAUAGAAACAUUGCCACCCGAUCCCACCCCCAUCCAUCUUCCCUCCCUCCACCCCCCUUUCUUUUUCCUUUCUUUUUUCUUCUCCUCCCCCUAAUGCCUCAACAAAUGAAACGGAUUUGUAAAAAUGUUACAUGGGGAAAAAAAUACGAGGCAUUACACUUCUGUAAAACAAGAAAAUCCUUAAUAAAAUAUUUUUUUUUUAAAAAAAAUGCAGCACUGUUUGCAAUCCAGUCACGUUCCCCCUUCCCUGGUUUGCUUUUCAUUGCCUUUUGCAAAUAUUGCAUUAUAACACCAACGUGACAGAAAUCAAAUGCCAUCCUUGUUUUUUGUUGCGAAAACUGCCUGCACAUCCAACCAACUUACAGUCUUUGAUAGUAGGAAAGUCUCUGUAGGCCUUGAGCCUGAAUGCAGGUGCAUACAGGGAAUCAAAAUAUGUAUUGUCCCAUACAGAACAACGAAACUGAAAAAAUCUACAUCAGACAUUCAAAAACCAACGAGCUUCCCCAGCUAUCCCAGCCUGGUUAACCCCCUAAAAACUCUGAUACCCCAUAAUUAAAUACAAUAUACUCCCACAGAGACUACCUUACACUGCAUUUAAAACCAAAAUCGCAUUUGGAUAAAAACUGUUUCUCAGGCGGCUAGUCCUAGUCUUUAUAACCCUGUACCUUCUUCCAGAAGGCAGAAGCUGAAAGAGAUCAUUUCCGGGGUGCGUACUAUCCUGCACUAUCACUGCAGCUUUCUUAUGACACCUGGAAGCAUAGAUUUGAUCCAAGGUGGGAAGAGUGCACCCAAUUAUUCUCUCCGCAGUCUUUACAACCCUGGACAGCAUUGUUUUUCCCCUGACCAUGCAGCUCCCAAACCACACACACAGACCAUAAGUUAAUACACUCUCAACAGUACAAUGGUAAAAUGCCAUCAACAGGUCCUUUGAGAGAUUAUUUUUCCGGAGGAUUCUCAGAAAAUAUAACCUCUGCUGUGCUCUCUUCAUCAAGUCUUUACUGUUUUCUCCCCAGGUUAGGUCAUCUCUCAACUCCAUUCCCAGAAAUCGAAACACCGAGACCUGUUCCACACACUUCCCCUCAAUAAUGUCUGUGUUAAUCAUGUAACUCCAAAAAAAGAGAGAUAACCCAGCUUCUGUCUAGUUCAGGAGUAGGGGAUCCUCAGGGACAGGGCACACGUUGCUCUCUAUCUGGCACUCGGUACUCUCUACUCUCACCACACCACACCCCUCACAGUCUCCGUCCACACCCUCCUUGACUCUUUUGCCUGACUGGAUUGCUCAUAGAAUCAUAGACUUGUAGAGCUGAAAAGGACCCCACAGGGUCUUCUACUUCAACCCCUCGCAAUCCAGGAAUCUCAGCUAAAGCACCCAUGACAGAUGAUCAUACAACCUUGUUAUUAUUAAUUAUUAUUUUUUCAAUUUGUAUACCGCCCUUUGCCUGUAGGCAGUUCACAACAUGAAAACACAAGGUAAAAAAACAAAACACAUAAUAAAAACAAGAACAAAAACAAACCAAUAACGCCCCCCCCCAUUGUGUCCUGGAAGUCUGCUUACGCCUCUCACUUGUUUGGAUGGAAACUAGAGAGGGGUUUGUGAGUGUGGGAAAACUAACCUGCUGCCCAAAGGUAAAAUGGACCUUCAUUGCUCUACCCAGCUUUGCCUCUGGUCUACUCCUACCACUGGCAAGUGGCCCCUGGAAGAUUGCCCGGGAAGGAAUGCAGCCCCUGGGACAGAAAAGGUUCCCCAUCCCUGGUCAUGUUAUACCGCUGGUUUCCUUUUUAUUACUCCUGUUCACCAUUUGUAACUUACACAGUUUCACCAGCAAACAGAGCAAAAAGAGAGACCAUUCCCUCCAAUUUUAGAAGAAGAGGAAGUGGCGAAACCAAUUUGGUGAACCAAUGUGAGGGGAGAUGCAGUUUGCCAUACUUCCAGCAAGGGAUGAGAAUAACGGUGUUAAGCCUCAGUCUACAUGGCAAUGGGGGCUGGUGGUACACUAAUUGGUAACUGCAGAGUUAAAUACUGACCACAUGCACAUCAUACCUUUAAAGCACUAGGACACAAUUUUCAACAGCCAUGGCUUCCCCCAUAAUAUUCUGGGAGCAGUAAUUUGUUAAGGGUGCUCAGAGUUGUUAGGGGAUUCCUACUCCCAUCACAGGGCUACAGUUCCCAGAUUGGCACAAUAAUCCCUCUUCCCAGGGAACUCUGGGAAUUGUUGCUCUGGGAGGAGAAUAGUGGUUGGAAAAUAUCACAAAAUUUGUCUGAGUGCAAAUUUCAAAGGAUGGCUAUGUUUUUGUUUGCAUAUUGUUUUGGAGAGUGAGAAUUUGAUAGAUUUAGUUUUAAAUACGAAUGGAAUCAAAUUUCCCCCGUAUCACUAGAGUCAAGUAUAUGUGUCAUUGGAGGAGAUCACCCACAGCAGGAAAAAAAUUUGCAUUGGCUUCUCUUUGUAUGCAUUUCUGUGGGCACUCCAAAAUUCUAAGCCUGAUACUGAACAAAGCCAGCAAAAGAUUGCACCAUCAAUAGAAAACAAACUUUCUGGUGAGUUGAACUAAUCAGGCUUACCAAUGUCAUUUGCAAAUAGCUAAAUGUAGUAACAUCCCCCCCGCACACACAUACUCACACACAUGCAAAACCAAGCAACCAACAAUUCACUCAGAACAAGUCUUGGCACCGCAGUGCAACAAACAGAAAAAGCUUGAUUUGGUUCUAGCCAACUUGGAAUUCAGAGACUGAUUUAGAGCAGUGCUUCUCAGGCUAUAGCAAAUUAUCUGCAAGGCCCUUGGUGAAAUGUCAGAGUGGAAUUUUUAACCUUGGUUCACUUGUUUGCCAGCUGGGAAUACCAGCUUCUCCUUUAGCCCGUGAAGCCCAUUACAACUCCUGGCUUGCGCAGUGCAUAAAAUUGGCAGGCUCCUCUGUUUUAGAAAUGCUAUACAGAUUAUACACUUGAUUAACAGACCACCAUCUCCACCUAAACUGACUCAAGCCUGUUUUGUAACACCUCUGCUUGACUGAGGACCAUUUACCAACACUGGUCUGCCCCCCCCUUUCAUUUUUAAAUCUAUAUGAAUCUGGAAGAUGUGAAAUACAAUAAAUAAAAAGAAGGGGGGGACAGUGCAACCCCCUCCCACCAGGGUUCACAGCUUCAUAAAAUAAUAUGCAUUUACAAGAGACUACUACUUAGAUAUUACAAAAAAAAUAUGGACCUGAUACAGAAAGAAUACAAAACAAAUGAUAUUAAUACCAAAUAAAGCCAUAUUUCUGUGGGACUUGUUAUCCCCCUGAUUCACCUAUCGUAUAAGUAAGGAAUGGCCACCAAACCAAGGCAAAAUUCAUAGGUUUAUGUGCACUCUGAGAUACCCUUUAAUUAUGUCAAUUUCUCAGAGAUGAGAAUAAAUGAUACUUUAUUGAACCAAAUAUUUAACGAAAAAACCCAAUUACUCCUUCCAGCAGCUAUAAUAGAAAAAUUGUGAGUGGUUUGCAUAUUAUAGUCUGUAUUCAACUCCUCAAAAAUUGAUAAAAUACACAAUUUGGUUUCAUUUCAGAAAUUUCCUUUAUUGCCUCUUCCCAAAUUUUGGUCACUUAUUUUGCAAGGCCACCAUAUGUGCCAAUAGGUUCCUCUUUCAUUAUAUCCCCUCCAACACAUGGGGGAACCAAUGCUAGUUACACGUGCAAGACAGACUAGAGUCAAGAACAAUUGAUGGGUUAUUUUAAAGGAGAUUUCUCAGAUAUUUGUAGAGACAGAUCUGAAAGGGGUAGCAGGCCACAGUUUUCCCCACUGCACAUUGUCCAAUAGACAUCCAAGAUGCAUUCCCUGAACAGAUUGCAAAAAAGGGUUCUGUUUUGUGUUGUGGUGCAGCUAGACUGGUGACUAGGAGCGGCUGCCGAGACCAUAUAACACCAGUCUUGAAAGACCUACACUGGCUCCCAGUACGUUUCUGAGCACAAUUCAAAGUGUUGGUGCUGACCUUUAAAGCCCUAAACGGUCCAGUAUACUUGAAGGAGCAUCUUCACCUCCAUCGUUCUGCCCGGACACUGAGGUCCAGCGUCGAGGGCCUUCUGGCAGUUCCCUCCUACGAGAAGCCAAGUUACAGGGAACCAGGCAGAGGGCCUUCUCAGUAGUGUCACCCGCCCUGUGGAACGCCCUCCCACCAGAUGUCAAAGAGAGAAAUAACUACCAAACUUUUAGAAGACAUUUGAAGGCAGCCCUGUUUAGGGAAGCUUUUAAUGUUUAAUAGAUUAUUGUAUUUUAGUGUUCUGUUGGAAGCCGCCCAGAGUGGCUGGGGAAACCCAGCCAGAUGGGCAGGGUAUAAAUAAUAAAUAAUAAAUAAUAUAAUAAUAAUAAUAAUAAUAAUAAUAAUAAUAAUAAUAAUAAUUAGUGUGUGAUGGAACUGAAGAAACAACUUUUUUAUAUUCCUUGAUCAGAACAUAAGAAUUGCCUUGCCAGAUCAGAUGAAAGUCAGUCUUAUUUGGCCUUCUGUUUCCAAAAGGCUUUCAGGUUCGUGUUCCAUUGAAAAGCGUGCAUCUGCAGCAAAGAUGGAGAACGUGUAGCCCUCCGGAUGUUGUUGGAUUCCUAGUCCCAUUGGUCAGUUUGGUGGUCAAGGCUGGUGGGAGUUGGGACACUUCCAGACAGUUCACUAUUUGGGGGUUGAAUUCAGUCCCAUACUGGAAAAUUAGGCUGAAAGAUGGGUAAUUAACAACAACAACAUCAACCACAGAGUUCAACCUGCUCGCUAAUAAUUGUCAAACUACCAACCACUGCAUGUAUUUACUCGUUUCCUUAUUCCCCAGACAACUGCUGAAGAGACAGAGCGUCUCUUUAUCACUGUGAUAAACAUGAUGUUCCCCUCACACAAAGUUCCUAUCAAGAAUGACCUUUAAUAUCAAACUGCUGCAAUCUUUUUUUUAAAAAAAGUAAUGCCUUCUUUUACAGCUUGCAGAAGCCAGUGGCCUGUGUGUGUAUGUGUGUAGAGGAGCGUGGAGAGGCUGUGGAGAGUCAAGGAAAAUUCAUGAUACAGCUCUUGUUUUUAACCCAGCUAAUUAAAAUCUGCAUGCGCGGAGUGUAACUGAGAAUGUAGCCUUCGCCCACCACUUUCCCACAGGCAGGGAAUAAAGGUCUUCAGUGUACCAGAAGCUCGCCGGUCUUUGGAAAACAGAGAACAGAGCUCACAAUUCAUCCCGGCAUCCCUUAUCAAGUCUUUGGAGUUCAACCCCCCCUUCCCUUCAGUCCCCGCCCCCAUCGCUACAACAGAACCCCUUACUGUCAGGGUCUACGUUGUUGCUCAGUGCAUCCCACUAAAAUGUAACAAAGCUAAAAAUAUGUUGAUUCUCAUUUGUUAUGCUCCAAAUAGAAUCCCUUUCCAGUGACUUAUUUUGUAGUAAAUACAUUUACUCACAAAGACUGUUUAUUCUGCCAAGAAGUGAUUUGAGUGGCAGGCUUUUCACAGUUCCAUACAGUGACAGUCUGAGGCAGUUUAUUCCGUUUCCUUGUCGUUUCCCUAACUUGUUAAAUUUCCACAUUAUAUUUGAGCUUUCGCAGAAUGUAAAAGCCGCUUCUGGGAAACUAAUGGCCUAUAGGGCAUGUUUAGCAUACGUUUCUGCGUUAUUUGAUUCCAGAAAAAUUCAUUUGCAGCCUGCCUUAACCUGGAAAAUUGUGGGAGUAAAGUGAAUUAAUUUUGGGCUGUGUACUUGUAUACAGUUAUUUCUUGCUGUUUUCGCGAGGCAAUCAGGGAAAACAGAAAUACACAUUUGUGGAAAACGUGUGUCAGGGAACAGCGGGGAAUACCAACAAAACAUUGUCCAGUGAUGUUUGUUGUGUCACACCACACCCACUGGUGUGAAUGAAGUUUAGCAUGCCUAUGUCAUAGAACUGUAGAAUUGUAGAGUUGGAAAUGACCCCAAGGGGCAUCUAGUCCAACUCAUUGAAAUGCAUGAAUCAUAACUAAAGCAUCCAGGACAGAUAGCUGUCUAACCUCUGCUUAAAAACCUCUGAGGAAGGAGAGUCCACCACCUUCCGAGAGAGUCCAUUCCAUUGUCAAACAGCUCUUACCAUCAGAAAGUUCUUCCUGAUGUUUAGUCAGAAUCUCCUUUCUUGUAACUUGAACCCAUUGUUACAGGUCCUAUGCUCCAGAGCAGGAGAAAACAAGCUUGCUCCACCCUCCACAUAACAGCCCUUUAGAUAUUUGAACAUGGCUAUUAUUUUUCCUUUCAUUCUCCUCCUAUCCAUAUCCAUUUCCCUCAACCAUUCCUCAUAAGGCUUAGUUUCCAGACCCUUGACCAUCUUGGCCGCCCUCCUCUGCACACGUUCCAUCUUGUCAAUAUCUUCCUUAUAUAGUCAUACCUCGGGUUGAAGUAGCUUCGGGAUAAGCAUUUUUGGGUUGCGCUCCAUGGUGACCUGGAAGUAAUGCAGCGCGUUACUUCUGGGUUUCGUCACUCGCGCAUGCGCAGACACUCAAAAUGACGUCACGCACAUGCACGGAAGUGGUGAAUCGUGACCCGUGGAUGCGAGUUGCGUUCGCUUCAGGAUGCGAACAGGGCUCCGGAACGGAUCCCGUUCACAUCCAGAGGUACCACUGUAUUGUGGACACUGGGCACAGUAUUCCAGGUGUGAUCUGAUGAGGGCAAAAUUUUUGUUGUUUAGUCAUUCAGUCAUGUCUGACUCUUCGUGACCCCAUGGACCAGAGCACGCCAGGCACUCCUGUCUUCCACUGCCUUCCGCAGUUUGGUCAAACUCAUGCUGGUAGCUUCGAGAACACUAUCCAACCAUCUCGUCCUCUGUCUUCCCCUUCUCCUUGUGCCCUCCAUCUUUCCCAACAUCAAGUUCUUUUCCAGGGAGUAUUCUCUUCUCAUGAGGUGGAAGUAUUGGAGUCUCAGCUUCAGGAUCUGUCCUUCCAGUGAGGGUGGUACUAUUACUUCCCAUGAUUUGGGCACUAUACUUCUGUUGAUGCAGCCUAGAAUAGCAUUAUCUUUCCCCCCCUGCUGCAUCACACUGUUGACUGAUGUUAAGUUUGUGGUCUAUCAAGACCACUAGAUCCCUUUUUCACAUGCUACUGAAAUCAAGCUACACUACAUCCACAGCCUUCCCCUGAUCCACCAAGCUUGUAACUCAAUCAGAAAAAGAAUUGAGAUCAUCUGGUGUCACAUGUUUUUGAGAAACUCAUGCUAGGUCUUAAUAAUAACUGUAUCCCUUUCUAAGUGCUGACAGACCAACUGUUUCAUCAUCUGUUCUAGGACCUAGUAUCAAUGUUAAGCUUACUGGUUGGUAAUUACCUGGGUCUUCUUAAUUUAGGUUGAAUAUGUCUUGUUGUUUAUUUGCCUUUUUUUAUAAAAGAUUUUUUUCCAAGUGCAUUUCUAAAAUUCAUUUGGAAAGGCAUACAUUGAGACACUGGCAACAACUAAGUGAUUAAUAGUUUGUAUCAGGAGAAAUACAUAGUAAAACAGUUGUCUUCUACUUUCCAUGUUCUUUGGGUUGAGGCACCUGGCAGCACAAGCAUGCUCUAAGGCAGGGGUCAGCACACUUUUUCAGCAGGGGGCCGGUCCACUAUCCCUCAGACCUUGUAGGGGGGGCGGACUAUAUUUUGGGGGGGGGGGAUGAAUGGAUUCCUAUGCCCCACAAAUAACCCAGAGAGGCAUUUUAAAUAAGAGCACACAUUCUGCUCAUGUAAAAACACCAGGCAGGCCCCACAAAUAACCCAGAGAAGCAUUUAAAAUAAAGGAUACAUUCUACUCAUGUAAAAAUACACUGAAUCCUGGACUGUCCGCGGGCCGGAUUGAGAAGGCGAUUGGGCUGGAUCCGGCCCAUGGGCCUUAGUUUGCCUACCCAUGCUCUAAGGCUAAAGUCUGGUGAGCCCUUACUCAAAUUAGCAUCCUUUGAUUCUCUCUUUCUCCCAUUAGAGAAUGACGCAUUCUGCCACAAUUUCCUGCCAGGAUUCAACACUUGGAAGGUGACUGGGCCGCGUGAUUUGAAAUUACAGUCCAAGGAAAGCCUCUUUUCACAGUUCCCAUGAGCAAAGUGCCUGCAUGUGAGCAUUUCUGAGCGAUGACCACAAAGAAUUGCUCAGGCAGCUGUGUGCUCACUCUGCUAUGAUGAUAUCCCAUUCGCAAGCAUCUGCACAUCUCUGCAACAUCACACACAGACUUUUCUCUGGGACCUGGAUGCAGCCUUGCUGGGUCAAACACAAUGAGCAAGGACCUUCCCUCCCAAAAUAUAAAAAAAUAAAAGGAAAGGAAAUAAUAAUGAUUUCUCCCGCAAUCAUGAAAGUUUUUCUAGGAUCCCUAGAGCCACUGGGAAAAUCAAUAAAGGGUCUUGUGACACCUUAACAACUUAACAAAUUUAUUAUGGUGUAAGGUUUUGUUUUUGCAACAACAAACUAACAUGGAACUUCCUUCCAGAAAUUCAGGUUGGUGGGGGUCCCACAGCAGAGGUGCUUCCCCCACUUCCAGAAAGUUACAUUCCAAUGUGCAAAAUGUCACCAGAAGAUUAAUUACCUGGAGCGUGUCAGCACUACAAACAUUGAUCAUUGUUGCCAAUUUAACUUUCACAUAUUAGCGUGAAGAAUCCUGGGUCAUAUAAUUUUUUUGAUAGCACGGAGAAGCACCUGUUUGCGACUAAUGGUACACAUCUAUUAAUAUCUACUUGGAAUAAAGUCUCAUUGCGUUCCAUGGGGCUGACGUCCAGGCACAUGUCUAUAGAAUUGCAGGUGGGCAGAGUAAUCCGAUCGGGGCGGGGAGAGGAAAUGUCUGAUGUGGGUUUUCUGGAAAUUUCUAUGCAAAUCACAACUGGACUAUUGCAAUGCAUUCUACAUAGGGCUAUCCUUGAAAAUGGCCUGGAUGCUGUAUCUAGUGGAGAAUGCUUCUGCCAGGCCAUAAUGUGGGACAGUGAGAAGUGAUCGUAAAACAUCAAUCAUUAAGGCCCUGUACUGGAUGCCUGGAUGAUAAAGGGUCCAUUUCAAGGUAUUGGUACUGGUAUAGAAAACUCUAAAGAAGGACCUAUCACACUUUUCUUCUUGGCAUGGAGAUUGGCCUUUCACUCCUUGAAUGGAUGUACACACUGUCUUAAGUCAAGCUGAGGGCAUAGGGAGAAGACUAUGCCAAAGACAGUUGGAGGGAGAACACAGCCCUGUUUCACACCACUCUUUAUAGGAAAGGCAUCUGAGGAUGAGCUGUCAUGUUGGAUGGUGCCACUCAUGUUCUUGAGGAAGGACACAAUCUUCUUGUGGAGCUUAGGUGGGCAUCCUAUCUUGCAGAGCAGUCCUUUUCGGCGGAUGAGGUCCAAGGCCUUCAUCAGGUCUCAGCAUUUCUCCUGCAGCUGGCGCAGUGGGAAAAUCAUGUCGACUGUUGACCUCUGAGCUCCAAAGCCGCAUUUCGACUCGGGAUAGACCCUGCCUGCGAGCGACUGCAAUCUUUUGAGAACUAAAUGGGUGGAGGCUUUCCCCACAGUACUCAGCAGAGAGAUUCCACAAUAGUUGUUACAGUCACCUUUUUUUUUUUUUGCAGGGGGUCACAAUGCUGGUGUCGCACAGGUCUUGUGACACGAAUCCGGUUUCCCAACACUGCAAGAGAAGGCCGCGGAGGUGUCCCAUGAGGGAGGAGUUGGGGCUGGCUUUCAGUACUUCUGUUGGGGUUCCAUCUUUUUCUUAGGUUUUACCAUAUGCCUGGGAGUUGAUGGUGUUCUUCAUUUCAUCCAGGGAGGGAGGAACAUCCAGCUCUUCCGUGGAGGGCAGAAUCUGGACACUGUCAACUGCUGUGUCAGUAACCAUAUUUUAUAACAACAACAACAAAAACAGUAAUAUUUAUACGCCGCCCAUCAGGCUGGGUUUCCCCAGCCACUCUGGGCGGCUCCCAACAGAGGACUAAAAACAGAGUAAAACUUCAAACAUUAAAAACUUACCUAAACAGGGCUGCCUUCAGAUGUCUUCUAAAAGUCAGAUAGUUGUUUAUUUCUUUGACAUCUAAUGGGAGGGUGUUCUACAGGGCAGGUGCCACUAUUGAGAAGGCCCUCUGCCUGGUUCCCUGUAACCUCACUUCUCACAGUGAAGGAACUGCUAGAAGGCCCUCGGAGCUGGACCUCAGUGUCUGGGCUGAACGAUGGGAGUGGAGAUGCUCCUUCAGGUAUAGUGGGCCAUGAGUAAAGUUCCCCAUAGUCCUCCACCCUUCACUUCAUCUACCUGCAGUGGUCUGUGAUGAACUAUCCAGGCAAGGUUUUCAGCGGUGUAUUUUUCCCGACUGUUGGUCCAAAGGCUUUCUUCAUGCCUUCAUACAUUUUGUGAGAGUUGAAUGCUCUGACACAGCUUUAGCCCAAAUGUAAACAUUUAUUUUUCAAAAACAAAAAUUUAAAAGAAGGUUAUAGUUUCUAAUUCAUGGAAAAAUCUGCUUAGAUAGAUCAUUUUAGUGAGUAAUACUCACUGGACAAUAGGCCAAUUUAACAAUUCAUUUCAUAAACAAUUGCUAAAUUAAAAAAACCUGUCUCUGAAUUUUUCAAAAGUUUGGUUAGAAACAGAUAGGUAGUGGGCAUCAUAAAUCACAUGGGAGUAGGAAAAUGUUGCGGGAAAAGUGUCCAAACAAUUACUUUUUACUCAACCCACAGUUUGGCAUUGUCCCUGAGCCAUGAUGGAUUGCGUGUAUUAGAGGCAGUAUUCUUUCCUUCACAAUGUUAUCCCAUUAUGCACGCAAAGCAAUGUUGGCCACGUUAUCAUUAACAGAACAUUUUUCUUUUUUCUUUUUAAAAAGGAGCUGUCUCCCUGGACACAAUGUGUUUUUCAUUCUCAGGAGCAUGUUACGCAGCACAUACUACAAUAUGCCAACGUGCAGAUAAAGAUGCUUCUUCCUGCACCAUGUCUGAAAAUUAAGAGAGAUUGGGGAAACUUGAAAGUGUGCGGGAGGAACCUCCCCCCCCCCCGCUGAUGGAUGCAUUCCUUCGGGAGCAAUGUGUUGGGGGUGGAGUUGGAACUGGCCGUGGAUGGUGCCAGUUUUAGAAGUGCCAUGGGUUUGCAACAUUACAAAUCUCUCUCUCUCUCUCCUCCUCUCUCUCUGCCACCCCAUCACUCCCUCUCUGUGCUACCAUAUCUCACAUAGUUAGGCUGAGGGAUGCAGUCCUCAUGUCAAUGGAAUAACUUCUCUAGAAUUUGCAAAUGUCUUCAGAAGCAUUAUAAGUCCUUUCCUUUUCAGAAUGCAUCUUAUAUUGAUCCUAAAUAGAUGAGGGCUUAAUAUUGCAAAUGGGCCAUUGACAAGCAAUUGACAACAGGCUUCUAACUUUCUAAAUUUAUUUUUUAAAUCUGCAGGAUUUCCCCCUGAAAGGGUAAAAAGGUAAGAGCUCAUGGGCCAUCUUGCUCAGGAUUGUCUACACACUGACCGGCAGCAGCUCUCCAGUAAUAAUAAUAAUAAUAAUAAUAAUAAUAAUAAUAAUAAUAAUAAUUUAUUAUUUAUACCCCGCCCAUCUGGCUGGGCUUCCCCAGCCACUCUGGGCAGCUUCCAAAAAAAAAAAAUUAAAAUACUGUAAUACAUCAAACAUUAAAAGCUUCCCUAAAGAGGGCUGCCUUCAGAUGUCUUCUAAAAGUCUGGUAGUUGUUGUUCUCUUUGACAUCUGGUGGGAGGGCAUUCCACAGGGAGGGCGCCACUACCGAGAAGGCCCUCUGCCUGGUUCCCUGUAACUUGGCUUCUCGCAGUGAGGGAACCGCCAGAAGGCCCUCGGCACUGGACCUCAGUGUCCGGGUAGAACAAUGGGGGUGGAGACACUCCUUCAGGUAUACUGGACCGAGGCAGUUUAGGGCUUUAAAGGUCAGCACCAACACUUUGAAUUGUGCUCAGAAAUGUACUGGGAGCCAAUGUAGGUCUUUCAAGACUGGUCUUAUGUGGUCUCGGCGGCUGCUCCCAGUCACCAGUCUAGCUGCCGCAUUCUGGAUUAGUUGUAGUUUCCGGGUCACCUUCAAAGGUAGCCCCACGUAGAGCGCUCCAGCACUUCAGACAGCAGUCUUUCCCAGCAGUGGCAAAGCAUGGGGGGGGCGCAUGCACAGGGGCAGUUGCAAAAUUGUUAGGGGGUGCAAAAUUUCAGCACCUGAUACUGCUUCAAUGCAGCUGUGUGCUUCCGUCACUGGACUCCAUUGAAAACAGCUUUUCCAUGUGAACCAGGAAGUGAGCUUUCCAUACAAUGGAACAACUCUUCUUUUCUUAUCUCUGCAGCUGCGAUCUCUGGGAUGCUGUGGAUGCCGUAAGGCAGUUCAAUGCACAUGCGUAGUCUGCCCAUUUCUCUCCCACCCCCUCCGCGCAGCCCUGGGAGCCAGCAACGCACGCUACACCACUGUUUUCCAGCUUUGCUUGGAGACAGAGGGAACUGAACCUGGAAUCUUUUGCACGCAAAGAAUGUGCUCUACCACUGAGCUUAAGGCCUUUCCAAAAGAAAUAAGCAUUUUGAAGUUAGAUUGAAGUUGAGGGAUCCUGAUCCAUUCUCAGCCUCUGGGCAGGGUGCAAUCAUUAACUGUCUUAAUCAGCUGUCUUCUUAGCAAUGGCCCAGUUUUGACAAGUCACCUUGUGAAUCUUGCAUCUCAGAUAAACCAAUGUGCUCGAGAAUACAUCUUAGAGAUGUGGGUUUGGAUCCUACGUUAACUCAAUGAAGUUCAUAGAAUGAAAAUACAGUUAUACCUCGGGUUAAAGUCUCUUCAGGUUGAGCAUUUCCAGGUUGCGCUCUGCGGCAACCCGGAAGUAAUGGAACAGGUUACUUCCGGGUUUUGCUGCUGACGCAUGCGCAGACGCUCAAAAUGACAUCAUGCGCAGAAGUGGCGAAUUGCGACCUGCGCAUGCGCAGACAUGGGUUGUGUUCUACUCAGGAUGCGAACAGGGCUCUGGCAUGGAUCCCAUUCACAUCCAGAGGUACCACUGUAUCCUAUCUCCUCCUUCAUCAGUCCUGGCUGAGACUGACGAGAGUUGAAGUCCAAAAACAUCUGGAGGACAAGUGCCCUGAACUAUGCCACAGUCCCAGGUUAUUCAGCAGUGAGGUAGCUACCUUCUGUAUGUGCUGAGUGAUACUUUCAAUUACUGCUUCACAUGUCCUUGACAUUCCAAUUAAGUCUGGGCCCCGGAAAAGCCCUAUGGUUGCAUAUCACCCCAUCGCAUUGUGUCUUGACAGUAAUUCUCAAGUCAUCGCCAAGCACCAUCUGACGGAGGAAGUGACUAGAAAAACAUGCAAAAUAAAUACAGCGCAAGAUUGCAUCAAAUAAGAGAUUCGCAAAUCUUCAUGCAGGGCAGGAAAGGUCUUUUGAGGAUGUUAUUGGCAUGGCAGUGCACUUUAGGCAUAUUCAUCAUUUCAACGAAGCCUGGGAUUUUCUCCCUGUUAAUAUGAAAUAUUCACGGCCGUAACUGUCUUGGUGAGGCACCGGGCUGUUUCUCAUUAGCGGCGGUUGUCAAGGGAAAAAAAAUGAAUAUGCUGCUGAGUGUUCAGUUUCUGGGAAAACGUGGUUGAAACCUGAGGAGCUCUCCCGAUUCUGAGCUUGGAGUCAGAUGUUUGCAGAUGGGAUGUUCCCCAUUAAGUAAUGACUGAGGGCCAUAUGGAACACAUUACAAAUCAAAAUACUGAUUGAUGAAGUGCCUGUGGUCAACUUUCUACAGAAAUGAGAAAUUUGAAUUUAUUAUCACAUCAGCAUGGGGCUGCUCUCACGUACAAUCACAUUCUGUUUGCCUCUACACUCCCCACAAGCCUCCUACCCCUCACCCACCCCACACUCUGAAUCCCACCCCCAAUGCCUCAGAUCCACUACUCUAUGAUAAACAAAACCUAAGUAGAAGCUUAGUUUCUGCUUUGGUCAUUAAUUUAACAGAUCUGGGCCGAGUCAGGGUAUAUGCCAUCAGGUAGCAACAUAGUAAAACUUUAAUUUUUGUCUUGCUUUAGGAUGCUUAGGUUUUCUAGGGUUCUAAAACAUGUGAGGAGCUUGGAUGCUUGCUGCUCCACAAGGUUGCUCUUCAUGAGCUGAGACGCAACCUGAAGAUUUAUGAAAACUUACUCUACACUAUUCUGAAUAUCUGAGAUCCAUUAGACACAUUCAGAUGCAUGCAAUUCAUGUAAUGCUCACCCAGUGGCUGCUUCUCUGCUCCAGAGUGUCCUUGGAAGGGAAAAGAUGGCAGCCAUAUAUUGGAAAAUCUAAGAAUUAUAAAAGUGCAGACGUAGUACAGAAAUAGAGCGAUGCAAGGGAUCCCUUGAUCCAAACUUGGGGGUUUAUUGACACAAUUCAGCUUGUGGUGAGUGGAGACUCCCAAAUCGCCCCGAUGCACCUCAUGAUUCAACCCCCUUCACAGAGCUGAUGCGCAGCCAUAGUAUUCUUUCACCAAUUCAGGCCAAAAGUUAUUCUCAGGGCUGGUUUACCCACUCCACACGCAGUCUGUGGGAAAGUCCCGACUUGUGCUGAUUCUGCAUGCUUAGAGGCAGCCCCUCCAAUCUCUUUAUCGCAUGCACAAUCCCAGGACAGGUAGCAUCUCCCUUGCAGGGCUUCAGGAAAAACCUGUAGCUCAGCUCUUUAAUGCCAUGCCAAUCAAGCACAGCAUGUUUUCUAAUCUGACAAAUCCUUUAGUCUAGAAAGGUCCAUCAGCAGGCUUCCCCCUUCUUUCUUUCUUUCUUUCUUUCUUUCUUUCUUUCUUUCUUUCUUUCUUUCUUUCUUUCCUUCCUUCCUUCCUUCCUUCCUUCCUUCCUUCCUUCCUUCCUUCUUUUUGAGGAAGAGGUUUGGGGAUACUAGGUUUCAGGCUUGGUGUGAAUCUGGAGACACUAGCCCCAUGCACAUUGUCUAUAGCAAAGGUGGAGGAGAGAAUGAGAAGAUUGUAUACCUCAAAACGCAGCAGUAAGAUCCUCCAUUACUGCUGGGGGUGGGGCACAUCCCUAGAAAGAUGGGGCUCCUGCAGCUUUAACAGUUGUGUAGAAGAGGGAAUUUCAGCGGGUGUAGCCAGUGUCGGACCAGUACAUUUUCCGCCUGAGGCUAAGGCCAAUGUGGUGUCCCCAUUCCACGUCCAAAAGCCAACCAAGGUGGCAGUUGACUCUUAGUUCAAUCAGAGCAGUAGCUAGGUGAUCAUGCGCCCUUGGCAGAACUGUCCAGAUUGCGCCCCUUAGCCAUGGACAAAUGAGCUCUUCUUUCCACCUCUUCUCCAACCCCCACCACCCAUUCAAUUCACCCUCUAUUUAAAACCAUUUCUUAUGAGGCAAUAAUCAAUAUUUAUAUUUAUGGACAUAUUUUUACGUGAUUUUGUGCCCCCCAAUCACCUGCAGCCCUGGCGGGGGGCCCACCUCACCACCCUCUAGCUAUGGCCCUGAGUUCAAUAUUGGUGAUGGGUUAGGAUCCUCCACUACAUCUGAGGGCUGUAGUUUAGGGGGUGCAGGAUAGGCUGCAUGGCGUGCAUAGCUGUCUUCCAACACGUUGCUACCCCCCUCUAGCACCAGAAUCUAUUGCUGCCCGAGGCAACUAUCUAACUCUGUCUUAUGGUAGAGCCAGCCUUGGCUGCAGCUUGCAUAAGCAGCUGCUCUAUACCUCCUGAAAUUCCCACUUCUUCAAGAGUAAAAGUGCGGCACCCCCAUCCUCUUCUGCAACCCAUCUCAACUUCCUUAUGAUGGUAUCUUCCAAAUUCCCAUCAUCAGAUGGAUAUAACGGGCAGAUCUACAAGGAGCAAAUUGCAGUCCAUUCCUUUCCAUGCUGACUUCACUGAUUUGGAACGCAACCCACCAUCCGAUCACAUAUACAGUGAUACCUCGGGUUACAGACGCUUCAGGUUACAGACUCCGCUAACCCAGAAAUAGUACCUUGGGUUAAGAACUUUGCUUCAGGAUGUGAACAGAAAUUGUGCGACGGCAGCGGGAGGCCCCAUUAGCUAAAGUGGUAUCUCAGGUUAAGAACAGUUUCAGGUUAAGAACGGACCUCCAGAACGAAUUAAGUUCGAAACCCGAGGUACCACUGUAAAAGGUUUUACUUUGUGUUUUUGACAACCUUCAUGGCUCUCCAAGUGUCCUGAUCAUCAGUCAUGGGAGCUGAGGCUCUAGAGCAGGUAUAGGGAACCGUGACCUUCCAGAUCCUGCUGGAGUUCAUCUCUCCCAUCAUCCCUGACCACUGGCCAUGCUGGCUGCACUGGGUGCGGAGCUUCUGGGGUGCUGUUGCAACUAUGCAACUAUUAUAUCCAACGGAAGGCAGAAGGUGAGGGGCAGUGCCGGGGAGAUGCUGGAUUUUGGCAUUGCACAGGGCACCCCUGAAAUCUGAGACUCCAAGAUCUGCCAAUGUCUAUAUUGCCUGAACCACCCUUGGAUGCCUUUUUGACCCGUCCACAUUCUGCACAGGUAUGCAAAGCAACGGGGAACUGGGCCCACCUGCUGCCCCAGCAUUGGAAUGAAUGAGGAUAUUCUUGUAUACCAGUAGAAGCUAAUGCUAGCCCUUGGCUGAAAGGUUAACAUCACUGAUGGUGUCACUUUCUUAGAAGCAAAACAAAACAGAGAGACUGAUUAAAAUGAAACACUUGCCUGCAUCUCUUGACACAGCAGUGGUGAGUCAUAUGUGAUCAAAACCAGAGUCUUAGCAAAACCAGACUGCUGGUGCGUAACAUCAGAAAGGUGGCAGAGCAGCUUUCAAACUGAUGGCUGGGGGAGAAAAACCAAUGGGAGCUGAUGAGCAUCCGGUUCAAGUUAAAUGAUCUCUACGGGUUGAGGGUCAAAAUGUUUCAUAGAAUCUUUGAGUUGGAAGGGACCCAAGGGUCAUCUAGUCCAACCCCCUGCAAUGCAGGAAUUUCAGCUAAAGCAUCCAUGGCAGAUGGCCAUCCAAACAUCUGCUUAAAAACUCCCAAGGAAGGUUCGAGGAAGGCCCUCAGUCAAGAAAAGUGCAAUUGAAAUCAUCAAGGCUUCAGAUCACAGCUAAUUUGUUCCCGUGACUCCAGUGGGACUUACAAGCACAACUUCCUUGCUCGGGUUUGGGAAUGCAGACUUGCAGCACUUCCAGAUCACCAGGGUUUUUUUCAGGUGGGACUCAGUGGCAUACUGGUCCAUGCAAGUUGUGGGAUUAGAGUUAAUUGGGAGGUCUUGUGCAACCAACUAGAUAUCGCAUAUCCUGCAUUCAAAGAUAACGGAAUGCAACCAAGAAGGAACAGAGCUUUAAUGGGGAAGACUCAUCCUACUCUGGCAUGAUGAAAAAAUUAAGAAACGGUCAUUUCUAUUCUGGACGUUUUCAUUGGCAGUGUAGAACUGGAUUUGGAUUGGGGAGAUCUGGGAGAAUGUUAGCACCACACUAUCCAGCAAGCUCCCAGUGGGGAGCUGAGUUCAGCUCUCCCUUCUUAUUCUAUAUUUAAGGGCAGAUUUAUGCUAGUUUGAUCAUUCCAUCUCCCCAUGAUACCUCUAGGUCAGGCGUGGGCAAUGUUUUUCAAACCAGGGGGAACAUUUCAUUCUGGGCAACUUUUGGGGGGUCAUGUGCUAGUGGCAGACAGGGUGAAGCCCGAAGGGUGCAGAUCAGUUGCUACAAUAUCUACACGGCAGAACGACACAAAGUUAAUAAAUAAUAAUACGGUGUGUUAUUGUUUUCGUUUGUUAUGGUGUUAUGUAUUUUUGUGUUUUUAUAUUGUAAACCGCCCUGUGAUCCUCGGAUGAAGGCAGGUGUAGAAAUUUUAAUAAUGGUGAUGAUGAUGAUGAUAGUGAUAAAUUAGUUUACAGGAGCUUCAUUCUCACCUGUUGCUGAAUGGUGUAGAAUGGGGGACAGGGUGUUGAUUUAAAGCAGAGUCUCGUGCCCAGCGGAAGGAUGAGGAAUACGUGCUGCAUACUCUAUAUUGCUUUAUUUACAGUUCAAAGCUGGUAUAUUACAGAAAGACAUCUUGCCUCUGCCGGAGCAGAAAAUGCAUCCUCUCUCCUCGACAGCUCGGAGAGAAUCACACAGUGAAAAACAGGAAACCAGUGUACGUCACAUCCAGUCUCCCUUUCCCGUGAGAAACUCCAACAGUACAGACUGUGGAAUGUAAACACCUGUCUCGUGACAAGCAGAGCUGCACAGUGAAGGAAAGCAGAAACCAACAUCCUCCCCUUUCUGUGAACAUCACUGGGCAGCGUGUUUGCACAAUAUCAGUACAAACCCAACUUCUGCACAUAGGUACAGUGUUGAUCCCUCGAUACAAUCUUGGACAAUACAUCAGCAGGAAUUUCAUUACCUGGCAUAUAGGACACCGUUACGAGUCCCUUCUGAAUACAUUCCCUAGCAUGCUGCAACUUUAAUUGCAAGUGCUUUGUGCUUUGCUUACAACCUUCAGACUUCAGCAAAGCCAAACAUGCUUUGUUGUCCUGGUAAACCUGGAUUGGACAUUUGACAGGAAUUUUCAUAUCUUUGCACAAUUGUACUAACCAUUCACAAUCCUUAAGUGAAUAAGACAGUGCAUUCAGUUCGGCUUCACAAGUACUUAAGCUAACUGUUGUUUGCUUCUUGCAUGACCAAUCAAACAGACUCUGAUUGUACAUAUAGCAAACUCCAGACGUACUUUUCCUGUCUGUAGCGUCACUUCCAAAACUUGCAUCUGCAAAUAUCUCAAGACCACCAGACUUCUGAUUGUUAAAUCUCAGUCUGUAAUGCAUAGUGCCUUUCAAAUACCGCGCUAUGCGUUUCAGAGCUUUCCAAUCCUUGACACUAGGAUUGUUGACUUGUCUGCUUAGCAAAUUACAGCUAACAGCAAUGUCUGGUCUUGAACAUCUGGCAAUGAAGUUUAGCUUGCCUAGCACACUCCUGUACAGUGUAGUGUCAGAAAAUGCUUCUUCCGGGUCAGCUCCCUGAUAACCUGUUGUCAUCGGUGUGUCUACAGGGUUAGCAUCCAUCAGAUUUAGUUUGCUUAACACAUCAGCAAUUUUCCGUGACUGGUGUACUAGAAUGUUACCAUCUUGAUCUCUCUCUAUUUCCAGAGAUAGGUAGUUGUUUACCUCACCAAGAUCUUUCAUGUCAAAGUGCUCUUUCAGUUGAGCUAGGGCGCUAUUGUACAUUGCGACAUCUUUCCAAAAGAAUAAUAAAUCAUCAACAUAAAACAAACAGUACAGUUUCUUUUGCCCCUCCUCUUUGACAAAUACACAUGGAUCAGCUUUCCCUUGCUGAAAACCUAGAGAAAACAAUACUUCAGUGAGUUUUGUGUGCCAACACCGUGCACUUUGUUUGAGACCAUAAAGGGAUUUCUUCAGAGCACAAACAAAUCCCUGUUUUACCUGUACGCCAUCAGGUGGAAGCAUAUAAAGUGAUUCAUCUAGAGAUCCGUACAGAAAAGCUGUAUUAAUAUCAUGGUGACUAAUGUGUAGAUUUUCCUCUGCAGCUAGCUUGAGCAUAAGCCUAAUGCUUUCAUAUCUCACUGUGGGUGAAUAGGUCUCGUGAUAGUCUUGACCUGGUACCUGUGCAAAACCUCUGGCUACCAAUCUGGCUUUGUGUCUGACUAUCUUGCCAUUUUGAUCUGUCUUCGCUUUGAAGACCCAUUUGCUUCAAGCAGUUUCAUUCCUGGAACUACUGGAACUAGCUCCCAUGUUUUGUUCCUUUCUAAGGAAUCAAGCUCAGCCUUCAUGGCAUUUAACCAUGGCUCAGCUUCCUUUGAAUCCAAACCCUGGAUUUCUUGGAAACUUGAAGGUUCAAAUACCUUCUUGGAGCUUUUAACAGCUGUUACUGCUAUCGUAGCAAACUCAUCAGCAAAUCUCUUUGGAGGUUUGCCUUUUGUGGCUCUCUGUGACCUACGAAUUAGCCUUAAGUCUUCAACACUCUCCUCUUCCUUCUUAGGAGAAAAACGACCUAUUGUGAACAAUGGUUCCUCCAAUUCUUGAUCAGAGCUUUCAGAGGGUCGCAUAGAGGCUUUCGCACUCUUGAAAUCCUCUGAAUCACCCGAUUCAGUUUCAGAUUCAGACUCAGAACCUUCAUCAGUGGGUGUGGGCUGUUGUGGUUGCUUUGACUAUCCUCAGUCUCAUCACCGUCAUCAGGAUAACAUUGGAAAAUUCCCACAUUCUCCCCCACUUUGCAUUGUACUCAACACUUCUCGUGAGCUUAAUUGUCUUAGAGUCAGUCAUCAUUAUUCUGUAAGACCCUUUCUGAUAACCUAGAAAGAUACCAUGCAAUCCACGCUUGUCUAACUUGGAGUUUUGUGGUGAGCGAACCCACAUGUCAGAACCAAAAAUCUUCAUGUGUUUGAUGUAUGGCUUCUUGCCAAACAUCUUCUCAUAGAGGUACAACCAAUCGCUGAAGAUAACCUGCGAUUGUAACUGUAAACAAAACACGAGAGAGAUUCGGCCCAAUAACUCUCUGGAAGAUUGGCAUCAUGCAGCAAGGUUUUUAACCCUUGAAGCAAUGUCUGAUUUGCCCGUUCCGCAAGUCCAUUCUGCCAUGGCGAGCGAGGACUAGACAAAUCGUGUUGAAUUCCUUUCUCAGUCAGAAAAGCUUCAAACUGCUGAGAAGUGAAUUCCCCCGCGAUCACUGAAAAGAGUCUUUAUCUUCUUACCAUGCACAUUUUCCAACCAAGCACAGAAUUCCUUGAACCUAGGAAAAGCCUCCGAUUUCUGCUUGAGAUUGUACACAAAAAUAUAUCUAGAAAAUGCAUCAAUGAGAACCAUGAAGUAUCUAUUUCCACCCAAAGAGGGCGCUAGUGGUCCAACCAAAUCAGCAUGAACAACCUGGUAUGGUUCUGUAGCUUUCCUACUAGACACCUUACCUUUCGCAGCCAUUUUCACCUUGUUUGCUGCGCAUGCUUUGCACUUCAUGUGGUACCUGCAGGGUUUAAUAGUCAUACCUUCAACCAAGGCAGGCAUUUUAGAUACUGCCUCAAAAUGCAAAUGACCAAAUUUUCGAUGAAAAUCGUGAAUACAUUCUGCAUGCAAACUUUUGUUAGAACCUGCAAUGCAACAAGUGUCAUCCUGCACCACAUCAUCAUAAUACAAAACAAACAAAUGAUCAACAUAUUCUGCAUGCAAUACAUAAUCAUUUUUCUUUGUGAUGAUGCACUUCUUGUUCUUGAAGGAAACGUCAAUGUUCCGCUCAUUCAGCUGUCCAACGCUGAGCAGAUUAUGUUUGGCGUCUGGCACGUAAAGCACAUUCUGUAUCGAUAAGUCCAAACUGUGAAGAACAACAGUUCCGUAGCCUUUACUGGGAAUAGUGUGGUCAUCCGCCUGGUGAAUCGCACCUUCCUGCGGUGUAAAAGACACAAACAGUCUCUUAUCGUUGCACAUGUGGUGGGUGGCCGCUGAAUCAACAACGAAGAAAGAUCUAGACGUCUUCUGGACCUCUGCAACCUUUGGAGUGAAGCGUGAAACCAUAGCCUUGUGCUGCGUUGUCCUAGACACCGGACCUUUGCCUUUGCCUCGGCCUUUUCCGCGCGAUGAGCUUUCGCUGCGCUGCUCUGUCUUGGCCCUGGGAUGUCUGCAUUCCCUCUUCAUAUGGCCUAGACGUCCACACGAGUAGCAUUUCACUGCCUUCAAAGCUUUGGCGCCAUCUGGUGGUUCCACUGCACUAUGGGAUGACGUCUGUGAAGACUCCCCCUUGCCCAUGCAGUCAUUUAAAAUCACGGCAGUAACAAAGUCCACUGUCAGCUGAGCAGUUGGUUGCACAGCAAUCUGGGUUGCAACAGACUCCCAACCUGAACCCAAAGAUUGUAGUAUCAUGAAAGAAUACACAGCCUCUGGAAAGUUGAGUCCUCUCUGUUGCAGCUCAUGUCUCAGAUUUUGCAUCUCCAUCAGAUGUAAACGCACAUCUCCACCUUCAGCAAGAGCCAUAUUAUGCAGCUUGUUAAAGUAAAACAUAGUGGAUCCAGCUUCUGUCCUUAAGUGAGCCUCUCUCAAAGCGUCCCAAAUUUCUCUGGCUGAGGUCUUAUCACGCAAUAGACAGAGCUCUUCUGGGGAUACUAUCAAUGUAAGAGUUCCCCUUGCUUUGGAAUCCUUAGCUUUCCAUGCAUCUGUAACUGGAACUGGGGGUGUUUCUGUAAUCACCUCAAACAAACCCUCUUUCCGCAGAAUUGCCUCUGCAUACUGAACCCAGUCGCUGUAAUUUUUCUUGUUGAGCUUAGGAAUCCCACAAGCAUCCUGAAGGGCCAUCAUGACUCUGGCAUUAGCCUUCAGCGUCAUAUGCUGCUUUAAAUCUUGCUGCGUCACUGCUGCAGCUGCUUUAUUACAAAAGCGCACUUAAAAGUUACUUUCGAUUUCCCCAGCAUAGUGACUUGUGCCUGGGAGCCUUUUGCCUAUUCCCGGCAAAACCGGCUUUAAAAGUUCAAAGUCCAGCCAUAAAGCCAUUAACUUGAAGCUGGCAGGCUGCCCGGAGCAGUAGCACAUACCUCAUCAAUCACUUCUACGCGCAGAGCAGAUUCCGUUCCGAUCUGUCCCUCUGCAUUCCGAUCCUUUGCCGGCACUCCGAUUCGACUUCUGGGCCCAUAACCACGUGUUGAUUUAAAGCAGAGUCUCGUGCCCAGCGGAAGGAUGAGGAAUACGUGCUGCAUACUCUAUAUUGCUUUAUUUACAGUUCAAAGCUGGUAUAUUACAGAAAGACAUCUUGCCUCUGCCGGAGCAGAAAAUGCAUCCUCUCUCCUCGACAGCUCGGAGAGAAUCACACAGUGAAAAACAGGAAACCAGUGUACGUCACAUCCAGUCUCCCUUUCCCGUGAGAAACUCCAACAGUACAGACUGUGGAAUGUAAACACCUGUCUCGUGACAAGCAGAGCUGCACAGUGAAGGAAAACAGAAACCAACACAGGGAUGGGACAAAUUAGGAAUGCGGGUGGCACUGUGGGUAAAACCUCAGUGCCUAGGACUUGCCGAUCGUAUGGUCGGCGGUUCGAAUCCCCGCAGCGGGGUGAGUUCCCGUCUUUCGGUCCCAGCUCCUGCCCACCUAGCAGUUCGAAAGCACCCCUAAGUGCAAGUAGAUAAAUAGGUACCGCUUUAUAGCGGGAGGGUAAACGGCGUUUCCGUGUGCUGCGCUGGUGCUGGCUCGCCAGAGCAGCUUCGUCACGCUGGCCACGUGACCUGGAAGUGUCUCCGGACAGCGCUGGCCCCCGGCCUCUUAAGUGAGAUGGGCGCACAACCCUAGAGUCGGACACGGCUGGCCCGUACGGGCAGGGGUACCUUUACCUUUACCUAAUUGUUGUCAGUCGGAAAUGAAAGUCCCAGAAAGAACAUGACACUUGGGUAAUUCUUGGCCUACUCAUUUCCAUUGUCAUCAUCAAUGCCACUACCAAGGAGUUUAGGUGGCCUAAGAAAGGGAGAGGACCCUCAGGCCCAGAGGCCAAAUGUGGCCCUCCACUUCUUUCUAUCUGGCCCUCAGGACUCUCCUCAGGCCACACAGAUUCCUAAGCUAUACUCCUUGGCCGCCCUGCUUUGCACACACUAUUGGAGUGUUUCUGCCUAGCUGGAGAUUAUCCUGGAAUUCUGCUAGUGCCUCCUGCUUGCCUGGGUUCAGGACGGAGAAAGGGGUGUAAGUGUUCGUAGAAACCAGACUCUUCUAGAAAUGCUAAACUUACAUUUGUUGCUCUGACCACUUCUGGCCCUGCCUGUGACUGGCCCUUGGAAGGUUGCAGAAUGCGGCCUUCGGUCUGAAAAAAAGCUCCCCACCACUAGCCUGAGAAAUUGCAGUGAAGGUUUCAAUCUGCAUGGACCUUGUUCAGAGGACUAAGAUGACUUAAUGAAUACGGAGGCUGUUGCAUGUAGUUACCAUAUGAAUAAAUACCGUAUGAAUAAGUGGGGCUUCUCUGAGGUGCAGAGAAAGAAAGAAGAGAGGAUAUCUGAGGUCAGGCUUGUCUGAAUAAAGAAACUUUGAACAACAGAGACGUUGGUUUAAGAUUUGAGGAAAGUUUUUAAAAAGAGAGAGAAUGAGAGUAAAUGAAGCAUAGUGGAAUAUUAGCGCAGCUUAGCAAAGGAGCCCAGAACAGCCUGCCAAUUGCUUCCAAAACACAUGCAAGUUUAACUUUGUUGCUGAGGGGGAAUUAGGGCCGACACCGCUGGAGUCUGACUGGAAAAAGAAAGAAAAGAAAGAGGUCCUCUUGAAGAACAUGAAAGCUUUCCCCCUCUCCUGCCUUUUAUUGACUUCGGAUGUCAAAUGUGGCCCUCGCCAGCAAGUUUCCACUGAGGUACAAAGGUAUGCAGGACUUCAAUGGGGAUUUGGUUCUCCCAAUUAGAGUCGGAGGGUCACUUGCUGGCAGGGUGUGGGCCUGCUGGAAAAGAAAGCAGCCCCAAGCAGGCUGCAUGAAAGCAAACAUUUAUUAUUAUUUUUUUAAGGAGGGGGGAAUGAACUUUUUUUUUAAGGAAGUGGGAAUGAACAAAUGUCACCAAUGAUUUUACUGAUAAUUACACCUAGCAGCGAAGUCAAGAAAGCAGAUUUGAACUGAUAGGACCAACAACAACUUUCUUUCCUCUAUAUAUAUAUAUAAAAAGAAAACUUUUCAGCUUUAUACCAAUGACCUCUUGGAAAAUAUAUGAGAGUGGCCAGUGGAUGUCUAGAAGUUACCAUAAAGAAGUUGCUUUUUUGCUAAGUGUGUGGAAAAAAGGAAGCUAUUGUAUUUGGGUGGGUACUCUUUCAGCAUCAGCAAUAUUCACUUCCAUGCUCAAGAGUCGAAAGUUCCCAGUUGCCUUGAGGACAUUAAAUCUGAUGAAGUUGUAAGAAUGCCUUAUACAGUGUUGGUGUAUUAUUUGUCCGUCUGGUCCGUGGUGACUGGUGCUCAUUGGAACUGAUAGGGCAGAAGGUAGGCAGACAGACCAUGGCUACAGAGCCAAUGAUAGGCAGAGCCAACCAAGGCUGAAUCUACACAUAUAUUAAAAACACUGUGAAAAUGCUUUUUUAAAAAAGAAGUUUUAAAAUAUAUAUGGAACUUGCCAUUAGCUCACCAGCGCCAUCGACUGUCACAUUUGUAUUGUGGUUGUUUAGUUGUUUAGUCGUGUCCGACUCUUCGUGACCACAUGGACCAGAGCAUGCCAGGCACUUCUGUCUUCCACUGCCUCCCACAGUUUAGUCAAACUCAUGCUGGUAGCUUCGAGAACACUGUCCAACCAUCUUGUCCUCUGUCGUCCCCUUCUCCUUGUGCCCUCCAUCCACACCAGUGUGGUGUAGUGGUUAAGAGCGGUAGUCUCGUAAUCUGGGGAACCGGGUUCGCGUCUCCGCUCCUCCACAUGCAGCUGCUGGGUGACCUUGGGCCAGUCACACUUCUUUGAAGUCUCUCAGCCCCACUCACCUCACAGAGUGUUUGUUGUGGGGGAGGAAGGGAAAGGAGAAUGUUAGCCGCUUUGAGACUCCUGAAGGGGAGUGAAAGGCGGGAUAUCAAAUCCAAACUCUUCUUCUUCUUCUUUCCCAACAUCAGGGUCUUUUCCAGGGAGUCUUCUCUUCUCAUGAGGUGGCCAAAGUAUUGGAGUCUCAGCUUCAGGAUUUGUCUUUCCAGUGAGCACUCAGAGCUGAUUUCCUUCAGAAUGGAGAGGUUUGAUCUUCUUGCAGUCCAUGGGACUCUCAAGAGUCUCCUCCACCAUAGUUCAAAAGCAUCAAUUCUUCGGCGAUCAGCCUUCUUUGUGGUCUAGCUCUCACUUCCAUACAUCACUACUGGGAAAACCAUAGCUUUAACUAUACGGAACUUUGUUGGCAUGUCACAUUUGUAUAAUACACUACACUUAAAACGUUAUUUUUGCAGCUGUAUAGCUGAGUCCCAAUUCUAGUUUCCUCCCCAUCCUCCUCUCUGCUGUGCUCUACAAGGACCAAGGAAGAGGGGGAAGCUGACUUGAACUGGAUAUAAGAUGGUGGGAAUGGUGGUGGGAGGAGGCUAACUAUGAGCAGACUGAGCUUGCAUACCCUCCAACAUGUUUGGAUGCCCCAAAAUGUGUGUUUUUGCUUGGCCUUCUAUAGCUGAUGACCUACUCCCUGAUUUGAAAAAAACAAAGUUUGGCUGUGCUUUAAAAUUUGGGCAAAUAAAAAAGAAGCUGUCAUUCCAAACCUUGCAGUUUGCUUUUCAUGUUAAUCAGAACCACAUCAGAAAUGUAUGUUCUCUGAAUUAAAGAAAAUGGAGGGGGAAUGACUGGGUCAGUUGUUGAUGUAAUUUGCUAAGAGCGUGGAAAACAAACAAACCCCGAAACAAAUAGUUCUAAAUUUAAAUAAAUUUAAGAAGGCUUGUGACUGAUCCACUAUUAAAAAUCCAUUUUAAUAGUUGUAGCUUAUUUUCUUUAAUGAAACUACUUAGGGAAGUAUUGAAAUGCAAUAAUUAGCCUAAAAGGCCUCAUUGUUUAUGUCUUUUGAUCACUGUAGCUUUUUGGCAGAAGAGUGCAGCAUUUCAGUAUCCUUGAGAGGGAUGAGUAGGUUUUUGACUGCCAUCCAGGGCUUUGUCAGUAACAGUAUAUGCCUAUGAUCCUCAAGAUGUAGAUAGAUAUCAUCUUAUUUCCUCUCAUCAAAUGCUUUCAUAAUAAAUGCACUUUUUGUUAUGUUAUGUUAUACAUUGUCCAGUGAGUUCCUGGAGAAGCAAAUGACUGAGAGGAGGAAAGAAAGAACACUUUCUUUCCUUUUCCCUUUUCCUGGCGAGUGCUGUUCGCCGUAGACUUUUCGUAUUUGUAAAAGAAAUGAUGCAGAGAGGAGGGAGGGAAGGAGGGAAUUCAUGACUGAAAUGGUGAGCAUCUAAACCACAAACUAUGGCAGGAGGAGCCUAGGGGCCAAGAAGCCGCUUCGUCUGGUUCUUGGAGGAUUCUGCCAUAUGUGUGUGUUUGUGUGGUUAAAAUAAAGGGCUGCUCAGUUUUACUUGAGAGGAAAAUAGCAUUGAGGACUUUUCCACAUGCUAAUAUUCUUUCCUUCUUUGGUUCUUCAAUGCAAAAUGUGCUGGCUCAUAACUAUUUUGAGAACCUAUGAGAUGCCAUGGGCAUUUCAUAUACAUUGCUAUCUCACAGCUCAGUGGCUUCAUAAAACAUACAAAAGUGUCUUCCAUAACUGCAAGGCCCUCAGAAUGAAGCAACAAUUUAUUAUCGUGUUCAUAAGUAGAGUCUUGCCGUACCAUUUUUGUGGGUGAUAUUUAAAAUGCAGUCAAACUAGCAAUUCAAGUUUUGCUAGAUAGGCACAUGCUAGGAGCGGAAGCUCACAGAGUCUUCCUGUAAGUUUGCUAGAGAGGUCUCUGUGAGAGACACUCCCACUGUGCUCUGACAGUGGGAGGAUGCAGCAGCCUGGGUACACACUUUUCUAUCACUUUCUCUUUCCACUCUGCCAGCAAUGUGAGAACACUUGCUAGUCUGAGCGCCAAGCCAAGACUCCAUUUAAGCUAGACUUAAGUACAGUGGUACCUCGGUUUAAGAACAGUCCUGUUUAUGAACUAUUUAGUAUAUGAACUCCGCAAAACUGGAAGUAGUGUUCGGGUUAGCAAACUUUACCCCGUUCUACAAAUGGAAGCUGAAUGGUGGAAGGGCACCGGUGGCAGGAGGCCUCAUUAGGGAGAGCGCACCUCGGUUUAAGAACAGCUUUGGUUUAAGAAUGGACUUCCAGAAUGGAUUAAGUUCGUAAACCGAGGUACCACUGUACAGUCCGUCUUUGUAACCAAAUGACCAUUUUAAGUCUGCUUGAACAAAGCUGCUGCAUCUGUUGCAAGUACUCUGAGUGAGUAAAUGUUUUUUUUUACCUUUUACAAGACUGUGUGAUUGUGGGGAGAAAAGGGGGAAAUAACAGGAAAAUCCAGUUUGCCUUAAAGCAUCCUGGAUUAUUGAAACUAAAAGGCUAAAACUAGCCUAAGCUUCCCUUUUAAACUGCAAAGGGAACCACAAAGGGAUCUCACAAAUGUGAGGAAGGAAGGAUAAUAUAUAAUAAAUAUAUAUAAUCUCCUAGCAUCUAUUCACAUCCCAACAUUUUGAAGAAGUCAGAUUGUGCAACAAAAUACAAUUCCAAUCCCCAGACUGUUUUCUGGAGAACUGCAUAUCCCAUGACAAUACAGGAGUUCACCAUCCUUGGUUUAUGGAUGAAGUUUUGAGUUUGGAGCUGAAUAGACAGUUUCCAACACAAGCUCCAUCAUGGAGCAACCACUGCUGCCUUGAAAAGAGGUCAUAAAAAUGAUAGCCUAGCUAAUUCUUAAAAUGUGAAUGACUCCACUACUGGAAUGAAUGAGGAAGCCAUUCCAGACAUCAGAGCUCCAUGUUCAGACUGGAAUUAUGGAAGUCCAUAAUUAUCCCAUUCUGCUAGAGCUUUGCUGAGGAACUGGUAGCAAUGAGAUGGUAGCUUCUUGAAGUCAAGGUGAGGUGAGGCAAAUCAAAAUAACCAACCCCCCUAAUUAUUCCUCAACUUCACCAUGAAGUCCCAGGACACACUACAUCUAAGAAAGAAAAUGCAAUACUAUACAACAAAACAAAACAAAACGAAACAAAAAUCCCACCCUAAAAUACAAAUCAGGUCUCUGGCCAGUUCCCAGUAGACUCUGCCAGUUGCUCUUUGAAAGAUGUUGUCUCAGCAAAGGACCAGAGUAAUCUGAAGGUUGAAGAAGGUUGGCAAGGUCUUUACUUCCAGUGCCUCCACCCCCUGGUGUCAUGCCUGCAAUCCCUAAAGGACCUGUAACGUAUUCUGCAAUUGCCUGCUCCUGCAUGGCUGUGGAGCAGAAGGCAUAACCCCCAGAGUCUGAGGAAGGUGGGAGUGUUGUUUCAUCAUGCUGGGAUGAUGUACAAGGGGGUGUUCCCCUCCUAAGGGGGAUUGAUCUGUGAAUAAUCUGAAUAGGAGUCCUCUUUUUGGCAACACUCAGACCUGGGUGUAAGGGCCAGGACAACAACAGGAUCUCUAUAUCAGGACAACACUGUUUUGUGUUCUGCAUGCUUUUGUUGUCACAGAACACACCAUUAACUCAUGGGAUUCAUAAGAUGGCAUCCACAGGAAGGGCCACUGUGGUUUUAAGAAAGGAAAAUAACGGAGGGUAGGUCUACCAGCUGCUUGGUAACAAUGAAGGAAAAGGACUAUUGGCUCCUUAUGGGCUUCCCACAGGUAUCUGCUUGGCUACUUAAGAAAAACAGGACGAAUGCCCAGAUGGAACUUUGGUCUGAUCCAGCAGGUCUCUUCUUAUGUUGACUGUCUUCUGGAUGAAUCCACCUAGCCAGAAAGUUGUCUUCACAGUGCAUUUGUGAGAGAAAAUGUAGGAGUUGACCAUAGAUCCAUGAAGGAGUGGGAUCUAGUCAUGACCGUGGGUGGUCCUUCCUAUGUGGCCUAUGGCGCAGCCAAGACUUAAAUAGCAUCCAGCAAUCAUGGACUAUCUCUGCCAAUAGUAGCUGCGAUUCAUGAACAGCCUGAGAGUACUGAACUCUUGUCUUUGUGCUGCAAUUAUUCUGAUAAAUCAUAUAGAAGCACUGGUUGCCAGCUGGAGGAGGACAAGCUAAACUCUUGGCAGAACGUGUGGAUUCCAUGAACGCUGCUUUGGAUUCUCCGAUCAAAACACAACAGUAAAAAAAUCGAUCAUGAGAAUAAUGAAUAAGAGCACGGUUUAUAGCGCUGAAGUGGGGGAAGGGCAGGACUUUCCUUAUGCAAAAUAUGUAGAUCCGUUUUUAGAAGGGCAGAGUUGGAAGGCCUUGUCUAGUACGCUUGCAUUGGUACAUCCAGCCUCUUCAAGCUGUAUAAUAUUAAUAUUUGCAAUAUGGCUUCGGGAGGGAUGAGGCCUGGGGGAGAGAGGACCACAUUCAUCCGCCAGGCAGGCUUCAGUUUCACAACCUCUGGCUUAUAUGGCCAAACAAAUGUUGAGAAGGAAAAUUCUGAAGUAAUUGCUUGUUUAUCAUGUACUGGAAUGACAAAUUACAAGGAACAGCACAACUAUAUGCUCAAUUAGGAAUGCAGUACAAUAUUAAGAAGUCUUAAGUGCCUAACAGUUUUCUUGCAAAUUGUUAUUGAUUUCCCUCCUCCUUGUAAUGACAGCUGAAGAAAACAAUGCAAACAAAACUUGUGGAGUAUAAUUAUGUUCAUGUUUAAUAAAAUAGCAAGGAAUAUAGGAAGUUGCCAUUCACCAAGCAACCAAUGUUCCACCUAGCUCUUAAUGCAAACGUUCUUUCCAAGAAAUUUCCUCUGUUGUAAGGCUUUUAAAAAAAUGUUACUUUCCCCAUGUUUUCCUUGUGCACACUUCCCCCUCAUAUUGGUUUUUUGAAGCACAUUUCUUGGGUUGAAAUUACAAAAUUUGGAAAAGUUUCAAAGGAUACCAGUGUUUCACUUCAUGCAUUGUUUCAGGAAGUGCAGAUUAGUUAGGUUUGUGUUAAAAUGUGAACUGAAGCAGAUUUCUUCAUUGUUCCUAUUGGUGCAGACAUAAUUCUCCUUUCUCCUGUCUUGGGGAGCGAAUUGUUUCCACAGAAAUCAAGCUCACGGCUAAUGAAACUUGAUAUAGGUCCUUUCCCCCUUGGGAUCUCCCUGAUCUGUGUUUUACUCUCUAUCCAAACUGUUCUUUGUAUUUCCUUUACUUAUUCCAAACAGGCAGAUACAUUCCUUGGCAACGCUCUUUUGUUUACAACAGGCGAGAUCUCCCUAACAAGGUAGUCAUGGGAUGGGAGGAGGAGAAACUAAACAGUCUCUGACUGCUCCCACCCAUCAUUCUUUAGAAGAACCAUAUCACCAGAGAACAAAUCUGGAUCCCAUAUAAAAACUGAAGCAUUUGAGGAAAUAGUAGAGGAUCUGCAAAAUCUUUAUCAGUGUUAUUGAAGAGCUGGGUGACUCUCAGCAGGAAAAAGGAAGGAAGGCAGCCGUAACAGGGUCACAAAUCAUUGAUUAGGUGUCCCCUAAUUUUGGACCACCACGGUUGUGUCUUGCACAUGCAGAGGGUAGGAAAAGUUGGAAGAUUCCCAGAGUCUUUCAAUGCCUCUCUUCCAGGACUGGUUCACACAUGCAUGUGCAACAAUUGAUUAUCGCUGUAUGCUGUGGAGAUGGCCUUUCCAUUCUCCCUAAACAGAUUCAUGAGGCAUCUAUAGCACCAUUGAUUUGGUUCAGGGCCCAAUUUGGUGAUCCCGAUUAGUCUCCAAACUGAACCGGACAGAUCCACCUGCAAUUUGAAUUGGGGUGCUUGCACAGUCCCAAUCCCUAAUUAAAUAUGUGGUUGGCGGCAAGGGGGGGGGAAGAGAGGAGACAUUCAAGCAUCGUCUCCCUCUCCAAGCUCUCCUUGCUGCCCCCCAUUUUUCACAGGCCUGGUGGACCUGAUCCAGGGCAAAUUGUGGCUGCCUUGAGUUGCUCUGGACAAAUCCCAUAUCAGCCGAAUUCAUUUUGGAAUCUGGGAUGCACAACUUGGUGCACAACGCUAGCAUCUACAUUGUUAUUGUUUAGAUGCCAGUUGAAGACCCUGUGACUACUCAAGGCUUCUCAUCAGCGUGUUUCUGCUAUGCAACUUACCCCUUCCCUCUCACCCACUGCUUCUGCCCUCUAAACGUCCCUUCAGAACUCAUGAAGAUUGGCAGGCACAUAUUUGCGAAACAUGGAGAAGGCAUAAUCCUACCCUGAGAGAGUUGAUUUGCAUGACAUACUCCGGUGCGAGUGCUAGACUGGAAUGACAUUAACAAAGCCUGGCAUCCCAGUGAGUUGUCUUUUGAAGGGCCAGUUCCCAGUUGGUGUUUAUUGUGUCCAAUGCCAAAAGAAACAGAAAAUGUAUUUCACAAUUUUGUCCCGUGCUGAAUAAUGACCUGGCUCCCAGUUGCAUUCCUUUGCUCAGAACCUAUCCUUCCUUUCUUUACAUAGAGACGUUUGGUCAAGUCUUCUCAGCUUGGGUUCUUAAUAUCCGGCCACCGAUGAAUACGUAUUCCUUUAAGUGAGGUUAAAAUGAUAGAAAGCAAUCCUCUCUCCCUCCCUUAUCCCAAGGGGGUGGCUUUGGCAAGAAGAAAAGGGAGGGGGUGACAAGGAGGAAAGGGAGGGGUUGGGGGGUUGGUGAGAGCAGGGGCACAGCUCCUAGUUCAAUCUCAAAAGAACAGAAGUAUUUAGGAACUCAAGCUGUUAAGGGCUGCAUAGACCUAAACCUGGACAUUGAAUUGUGCCCGGAAGACAACUGAAUAGCAUUCCCCAGCAGGUGCAAUAGAGAUCGGAGAAACUGUGGGUGUCAGUUUCUACUUUUCCCAUUUUAGAUUCAGUUCACAUGACCACAACUUGUGAAAAUUCAUCAGCACUUUACUGCAAAUUUCUCCUACCAUACACAUUUUCUUCCUGUGCAAUUCUGCCUAAUAUUCACAUUUUUGCAAAGCAUAUUUUUUCUCUUUAGAGUCACACUUUACGUAAUAUCAUGCAUUUUGGAUGUUAUUCCCACUGAUAUAUGCUAAUUUGGAUGCUCACUUUACCUUAGUAUAUGCAUUUUUCUUAUGCAUGAUUUGCCUGGAGGACUGCAAGGCAAAACACCCAGAGAUGCGUGGAUAUCAGAGAAUGGGUUCAUUUCAUUUCACAUAUUGUUUCAGAAGGUGCAGAUCAAGUACAUUCAUCUUUAAAUAUAAACUGAAUUGAAUCCCUCCCCCAUACUCCAAGAAAUACAUCCACUGCAAGAGACAUCCACAUACAGAAACUGGUCGUCAUGAGCAGAGUCCUUUCCACUUAGGAAUCAAUAUCAGGUUAUCAAAAUAAUGGGGAGGUCUAAGUGAGUAUCAUGGAAUUCAUUUUUAUUCUCAUUUCUCCUUGUUUAUCCCCCCCCCCCAUAAAUCUUUCUUUUAUGGUCUUGUCACAAAUGAAAAAGGGUGGGUUGGGGUUUGAUAGUUUAUUGGAACCCCUGCCAUUUGUUUCCACAAAUGUUUACAUGCAAAAAAAGCAGGCGUUCUGCGGGAGAUUUAGACUCCCUAGCAAAACCCUUUUCACCCCUGUAAAAACUUUAGAUUUGGUCUGAAUCUGGCUUCGGUCCCAGAACUUGUCAUAACUUAACUUUAUUAUAAAUCUGGAGUUCUGCUAGAAUGCAGUUCACUCUACAACAACCGGUCUAUGUCCUUAAAAUAAGAUCAAGAGCACAUUUCUUUGGUUCAUAUUUUGGACACUGUUGGGAUUUUGAGAGAAUUUUUAUUAGAAAACAGAAUUAUCUUGGUUUGGGGAGAGAUAGCCAUCAGUGACCGCAAGAAAACAAAUGGUGCGCAUCUGAAAUAUGUAAAAUGAUAUGUCCUACUAUUUAGAAGAGACCAAGGAUGACUAAUCAUGUAAACAAUGGUUUUCAUACCACCGCACAAGAAUUCUUUGGGUUAAGGAGAAAGUGCAAGCAUACUUUGGCACAGAAGAAGCUGGGGAUCAAUCGUAAAGGGGUCAUAUAUCUGAAAGGGGAACAAGGAGGAUCUUCAGCAGCUCCUUUUAAAAAAAAGAAUCAGUUUAACACAUCUUCUGCAUGUUGGAAUGUAAGAGAAAAACAUAAGAACUUGCUGGAUAGGGCUAAUAGCCCAUCUAAUCCAGCAUCUUGUUAGGGAUGGGAGGGACAGACUUGACACUGGGAUGCUAUAUUUGGCAGGAACACUGUGGUUAUUGUAACAUCAGAGCUCAUCUUGAAUUGCUGUCCUGAUCCUAGAUGUAGCUGUUCAAUGAGAAUUGGCAUCAAAACAGGCUUGGGAAACCCUGUGGUUGUCCAAAGGUUACUAGACUACAGCUCCCAUCAUCAAUGUGCAUUUGCUAUGCUGGCUAGAGCUGAUAGGAGUUGGAGUCCAAUAGGUCCCCUCCCCCUGCACCAAAGGGAACGUUACUCAAGAGCUAGCAAUGGUAAGUGUUCUUCUAGUAGUUUCUCUUUUGAUUUAGCUGGGGAGGAACCUUACUGCACAACUUGGAAAGCUAUUCCAGUAAGAACAACUUGGACUUCAGUUGGGGAAACUCUCUCUCUCUCUCUCUCUCUCUCUCUCUCUUUCUUUGUGUGUGUGUGUGCGUGUGAGAGAGAGAGAUGGACUGGCUGGAUGCAAUGGUAGGAGGCACCAGCUGGGGAACCCCCAAGGGAGGAAGGUUCAGAGCCAGGGGUUUGGUGGUGGGAUGACAAUGCAUGGUCAGAAGCAGAGAGCAGACUGGGGGGAGAAGGACUGUGGGGACUGAAGAAGCAACAGGGUUUAGUGAGCGGGAAGAGGCUGUGUCAGAGGACAGUCCAGGCUCAGAGGCAGAAGAGGAGGGGGCCCAGGAGACAGAGAUGAGGCAGGCUGCUGAAGUAUCCAGGGAGUCUCCCCUCCCUCCUGAUCUCCUAGACAUGCAGAAUAACUGGUAGACCUUUUCAUUGGGGCAAUAUCUACUGGGAGGUGUUGUUGUGAUCACUAGGCCUGCAUUCUUUUGGUUUCUUUGAAUAAAGUGUUAACUUCAUUGUCAUUGGUGCUUUUAUCGCUGACUCCGGCUCCUGACAAGAUCUCCCUCCACACAUAGCACAGCAAAUGGACUUCAGAAGGGCUCACUGAUUGGUGGUUACAGCAAGACCUUUCAGAAACACACUCCCAGCACCAAUCAGCUGACUGGUCCUGACAGCAGCCCGUUUGAACUUUAACAGGUGGGUGGGGCUGCCUGGCUGCCAAUCAGCUUUUUGCUAUUAUGACAUGUGAUCGACAUGUGUGGCCCUCUCUACCUGUCAACCUGGCCAUGGAAUGGACAGGGAUUAAGACUCCUCCAAGUGCAUGCAUAUUGAGAAAAGUAUUGUUUUAUACCUCAAUAAACUCAUAGCAGCCCAUUUGACUAAUAUCCGAAAGAAAAAUACCCAUCUGUUUGUGAAAAUAACUUCAUGCAUCUCUUAUAAAAUGCUUCGACAGUUCUUUAGAAGUGGAAAUCCAACGAGGGUGACUGGAUUUCAGUCCAGAUCUUCUGCUGGGAUUUUUGAUCAUAUUUCACUUCAAAUCACCCUUCCCUUCAGCUUCUGUUCCACAAACCAGAUUUCUUUUUGUAGCCUUAUGAACUUACAUCUGACGUGUGUCUUUCUGCUGACGCCCUCAAUAUUAAGCAGGGAGCUGGGAUAUUAAACGCACCCCACGAUGAUAUAAGCCAUGCUUUUUGGAUUGGUUAAUUAAUGCGCCACACACAUCCCCUGAAGGAAAAUUUACAGGGUCAUGUUUUUGCUGCCUCAGCAACCCGGGAUGUUUCAGCUACUAACCAGUUUCAGAUGCUCUGUGCCUUUCAAGAAAGAAUAGCCAUCUUGCUCUCAGGGCAAGGGGGGGGGGGGGAGAAAGUAAUGUCUCUGCGAAGGGUUUGUGUUUUUUACCAGCUGCUUUGUGUUGGGUUAAUGGAUGGCUGGAGUGAAGGAUUAUAUCCUCCGAAUUCUUCUAAAGUGGCAAAAUAUUUAUUCUGAAGCUGAGAUAGCUGACUUGAAUGUGACUUUGGGGCUCCAUCAUUUUUAUUGAACUGUUGAUUGACUCGACUUGAUUUAACCUCAAAAUAGCUGUUCUGGCUUAGAACCACCGAGUUAGAGGUUUGUAUGUAUGUACACAACCUGCCGGGCCUCCCAGGAGUUGACAUAAGUCAUAUUUUAAAUAUUUGUAAAUGGGAUGACUUAGCUGGAGGGAUGAAAUCCGAGUCUCCAGCCAAACAGAAGGUCUGCUUAAUGCAACAAAGAGCAAAUGCCACAAAACAGGGAAGAGUUUGUAAAAAGGGAGGCAUAUAUAUGUGAAUGAAACUGCUUAAUGUUUAAGUAGUGUGGGGUUUUUUUUAAAAUAAAGCCACAUUCCUUUCCUAAGGCAAGAAAGCACUAAACCUUUACAUUUUCUGAGGAUGGAAAAAAAGAAAAGAAUAACUAAGAUAGAAAGAUAAAGCAGUAGAAACUAAGUUAGAUCUUAUUUACCCAAGAGAUGGAAAUGAAAUUCCUUCAGACAACUUACUUACACUCCAGAAUGAACAAUGGCAUCUUUCGUAAUAUGCUUGCCUUGCAUGGCUGCUUCUCAUUUUUGAAUGAAUCAUGUGAAAUUCUAAUGGUGGUAGAGGUCUUCUAUUAGACUCGACAUAGAAUGCCCCCCUUUAACAGCAUAUUAUCAAAUAGAAUUUCAAAUUUAGCAGAGGACACUGAUUUAUUCAACGUAUGAGUUUCUUGGCUCCAAGUCACUUGCAACAUUUGCAAACCUAAAUCAUAGCGUGAAACUAGAGAGAGAAAAGAAAUAAAGCCAUACAGUAAUCUAUGAAACAAAUAACAGCAAUAAUUUCAGCAGCAAAACACACUGCUGUCUUCCGUCUGCCUUGAGAGACAAUGGAGUGCACCUCUGGGGGUGAAGGCAAACCACUAUGUUAGCAGCACUGAAGUGACCUUCCCAGGGCACAAGCCUGGGCAGUGUGUAUGGAGAUCCUAGGCUGCGUAGACAACAAUACCCCCCUCUCAGCCUCACUGAUGUGGUCCAAUGGAAAGCAGUCAAAGUAAAAGGUAAAGGAUCCCUGGAUGGUUAAGUCCAGUCAAAGGCGACUAUGGGGUUGUAGCACUCAUCUCACUUUCAGGCCGAGGGAGCCGGUGUUUGUCCGCAGACAGCUUUCCUGUUCAUGCAGCCAGCAUGACUAAACCACUUCUGGCAUAACGGAACACUGUGAGAGAAGCCAGAGCACAUGGAAAUGCCAUUUACCUUCCCAUCGCAGUGGUGCCUAUUUAUCUACUCGCACUGGUGUGCUUUCCAACUUCUAGGUUGGCAGGAGCUGGGACAGAGCAACGGGAGCUCACCCCAUUGUGGAGAUUCGAACUGCCAACCUUCCGAUCGGUAAACCCAAGAGACUCAGUGGAUUAGACCACAGUGCCACCUGUGUAGUAGACACCAAAAUCACCAUAACUUGUCAAAUGUGUGGGAGAAGAGAAAAGCUUUUCCCUGGUGUUACAAGGAUGUUAAUGAUGGAGACAGAUGGGCCUCCCUGCGAAGAGAAUCCCAUAAGCGAGGAGGCAGAACUGAAAAGGUUGAGAAAGUUUGUAAGUCUCGAAACCUCCCUCACGGGGGCACCCAGAAAAGGACUUCAAAUGAAGACUGAAUGGUUUGAGUAGGUUCAUAUUGAUGUUUCGACAGACCUAGGCCACAUCCUCACUAGGCCACUACAGACCUAGGCCACCACACAGUUGUGACUUCCACCAAAGUAUUCUGGCAGCUGUGGCCCAUUAAGGGUGUCAAGAGUUAGGAGAGCCCAAUCCCCCUCAUAGAACUACAAUUCCCAGAGUAGUUUAACAAUGAAUCCCUCUUGCCUAGGGAACCCUGGGAAUUGUAGUUGAAUGAGGGGAAUAGGGCUCUCAUGACAACUCUCAGCACCUGUAAGAAACUGCAGUUCCCUGGAUUACUUGAAGGAAGCCAUGGCUGUGGUAUCAUAAUGCUUUAAAUAUAUAGCGCAGAUGUGGCCCUAAUGAAAGCGAGCUGUAUACUAGCAUGCUUGAGAAAACAUAAAUGAAGGCUGAGACACACGGCAAGCUAAUCUUUAUCCUGAUCUUUGCUUUGCCAGGCAAAUGUGUCUUGAAUUUAGCAUGCUGUGAAAUGUCUAGAGAGCACAGUUGGAUAGGCAGUAUAAAAACAUGACUAAUAAAUAACAAGAAAUAAAUUUACUUUGGAACUUGGGGUGUGACCCGGUAAUAGUUCCUCGAUAAUUUUAUUUGGUUUCUUUCAUUUUUCAACACUUCUGUGUUGCUUCUCAUGAGAAAGCACACAGCAACUCUUGAAACAUUGCAUACAGAAAGUUUAUGAUGCAUAAGGCCAAUUAAAACAACGGAAAAAGGUAUUGACUUGUAUUUGAGGGUAGAAGGAAACAAUAGGAAGAGGCUAUGGUUGUUCCAUCCAACCAACUGAACUUGCUUCUAGUCCAUGCUUCCAUGUAAAUCUUCACGGUUAUUGAUAUAUUGAACACAACCUGGACAACGAUGAUGAAGGACGAAUCAUGAAUGGUUGAAUCCUAUUGAAGAGAAGGUAUGGGAAAAGUGCAAAAGAAAAUGAAAGCCACCACAGGAAAUCCAGGAGAAAUGGCAGGAACGUUCUCCAUGCCAUGACCCUGAUCCUUACAGAAGAGUGCAUUUUCACCCAUUGUUGAAAUUUCCCCCAUGUAAUUGGUCCACUGAGUACCCCACUAUUACCAGUUCCAUUUUAUCUGGAUUUAGGGUUUCUUCCCAUGCUGACAACCAAUAUAUACUGCCUUAUACUGGAUCAGAACAUUGUCAAUUUAGUUCAGUGCUAUCUGUCCACAGCAACUCCGCACACAUCUUUGGCUGUGGGCUUUCCCAACUUUUCUGCUGGGGAUGAUUUGAAUAUGGGCUGAAACUGAGACCUUUGGAGAAGUAUAGAGAGAGCCAGUGGGGUGGAGUGGUUAGAGUAUUGGACUAUGAUAUGGCCAAUCAGGGUUCAAAUCCCCUCUCAGGCAUGAGGCUCACAAGAUGACCUUGGGCCCAUUACUGCUUCUUAGCCUAACCUACUUCAGGGGGUUAUCGUGGGGAUUAAAUGGGGGGGGGGAACCAUGUACACCUUUUGGAGUGCCUUGGAGAAAAGGUGGAUAAAAAUGCAAUAAAUCAAUAAAAUUAUAUACUUUCUACAGGGAUAUGGAGACUUCGUCCAACUUUGCAUUAGUAUACCAUCCUCUAAAUACUUACUGCAGAGAUAGCUCUGUUCAGGAUUUUUCUUCCUUGAUUUCAAGGACGUUUCAAAUGUAUUAAUGGCUUGAUAUUGCUAACUGGUGAAAAAUCUCACCCAGCAAUAAUGUGCGUCAGCAGUUUUCGAAGCACAGAUGGCCAUUUAUGUAACUCUGUUUGCAGUUGUGGCUGUGUUCCACGGCAACAGGGAAAUGGAAUACAUCUGCACGCUACGAAGAAAAUAGAUGUACACGAACUGGAUGCUUAAAUGAUGGUGAAGCAGGAUUGUGAUCAGCCAUGAACUCUAUGAACAGGAAGACUGGCCUGGCCUCAGCCAUGAGCUGAAAAAAGGAGAGGUCCAAUUAUGACCCACAUGGCUUCAUUGAAUGGAAGUUUGUUUGUGUAUAACCUUCCUUCCUCAAGAGUUUCCUCUGAGAGGAAAUGGCGUCACUAUGGGGGUCAAUUGUUGUACAUUCCUCUCUGAAAAUAAAAUGCCACCCACAAAUGCAGCUUAAUUGAAAGCGAGCAAAGGGAACUCAGGUUGCCAAGAGCCCCGUGCUUAAAUGAGGGGUCUCCUUCAUGGGGAGGCAUCAAAGGUCAGGGGCAGAGCAUGCACUUUGCUCUAGAAGGUUCCAGCUGCGAUCCCUAAUGUCUCCAUUUGAAAGCAGCAGCCAAGAGAUGGGGAUUCCCUCUCCCUGAGACCCUGGAGUGCUGCUGCCAGAGAAGACAGUACUGGGCUGGGAUCUGCUCUUGGACCGCUGGCUGCCAUUUCUUUCACCUCCAAAAUGGGCAAAUCUGUACAUUUUGGUUUCUCUCAAUUUCUCAUUAUUCCAGUCUUAACUUUAGUCCUCCAUAUAUGCUUGUGAUUUAUUUGUUUCUUGGUGUGUGUUUUUAAAAGUCCUCAUGAAAAUUCAUCCAGAUUUUAGUGUGAAUUUCUCAUAGUGUACAUAUUUUGUUAUGCCGCAUCAGACCCAUUUAUGCAAAACCAUUUCCCUGAAUGUAAUGCAUUUUUUGGACGCAUGACUUGGCCAGAGAACAGCAUCACAACAUUAAGAAAAGAGCACAUUUUGAAGGAUUGCUGUGUUUCUUCUGCUCAAUUAUUGUUUAGAAAAGGGUGGAUUUUGUAGGUUUGCUUUUCGAUGCAAACUGAACCAAAUCCUUGCCCAAAGGACCCAGCCACAGUCAACCAGAUUGGGGGUAAGGUGGGUGACAACAGUAUAGCCACUAUGGCUGUGUACCAGCUCCAGCCAAAUCCCAAACCGAACUGGGCCAAUUUGAGUAAACCUGGGAUUUAGUCAUAGUAGGUUGAGGCAGCCUUGGGCCGGACUGGGUCAACCCAGAGUGAACUGGGACUGCCCAAAGUGGGAGAGGGCGGUCUGGGGACAAGGAGAAGGUGCAUCUUCUCCAACAUUCUCCUGCUUGGCUGCAUGUUUAAUCAAACACUGUUCAAGGCCCCAAAGUUGGUUUGGACUGCAUAUCCAAGUCAUUCAUGAAUCGUCCUUGGUUAAAAAAGGGUUAUCCCAAUUGUGUAUAUAUGUACAGUCCUGGUAGUCAUCAUGCUUUUGGUGUGGCCACCAUGUUUCCUCCCAAAAUCGCCCAGAAUGACACAAAUCUGGGUCAUUUGUAGGAGGAGAGAAAUGAUAGCUUGUCCACAGGCAAAGGCAACACCUUUUGUUAUUGUUUUUUGUGGCUUAUAUACCUCAGUCAAAGUUAUGAAUCUUUGAGGUGCGAAAAGACUCUCUGUUGAGUUUGCUUGACUUGGCUGCUACCCCUCUGGAAAGAAUCGGUAGUUUGCCGUCAAACAAUUCAAAAACCUCUCCCAUGUCAUAUUUGAUUGCACUUGACAGUUGGCAUAAAGUAUUUCUCUAAAAACCUUACAGCACUUGGUAUCUUUGCAGUUUCAAUUAGAAUUUGCGAGUUAACAUUAUAUGGGAAUUCUUAUCUGACGCUUGCCAAAAAUAAAUUUAAUUUAAAAAAUAAAACACUUAAGAAAUGUCAACAGGUCUCAAGUGUCCAAACUCGGAAUUAAGCAUUGCAUAUUCAAAAUGUGAAUUCAGAAAUGGAAGGACAAAAUUAGGAGACUUUCAGGAUAAUUGGUUUCAGCUCUAGACCUGUCCCUACCAUGUUGCCCGCAGAACUAUGAGUUUGUGGAUUAUUAUCUUGCUGAGCUAAGCAUUAAAGACUGGGCAGCCUGCUGCAUGAGUUUUCUUUCUCCAAUAUUUCCCACUGUGAUUAGUCAGUUCAGCAUUUCUUUUGGCUAGGAAAUGAGUGCAGCAUUUUCCUUUUGUUAUCUGCCGUGUGUGUGUGUGUGUGUGUGUGUGUAAAAGACAGAGAAGGGGAGAAGGAGAAAAUGGUUCUUUAAGGGGAAAAUUUCCACCUCUCGUUUUCUUGCUAUGUACCCGGGUCAUUAGGCAAACUGCACCACAUCUGAAAGAACACCGCUUUUAAGCCCGGAAUUCCCACUAUCAGAAUCGUUCCUCUGUGUUAAGCAACAAAAGCCAUGGCAUUGUCUCAGUGUUAAGCGGGUGUUAAAAUGUGCAUAUCUUACUGGGCUCAUUGUAUAGGAGGUCCCAUUCAGGGCAGGCCAUUUCUGAUCCACUGGCUGCUGUGAGCUCUCGCGUCUAAGACACACACAGUCGCCUCUGAUCAUAUUAGCUACAGUUGUCCUCGAUUAAUUUGCUUUGUGAAAGAGCAACCACCAAAGGACCAUCUGACUACAAAAUUUAAAAGAGCCACCUUUGAGUUAUCAGGGUUUUAAUAUGAAUUCAAUGGAACAUUAUCUUCCACCCACCCACCCACUUGCAAGAUAGCUGGGAAUGAAAAAUAAAAGAUAUAUAAUACAGGAGUCCCCCCACUUAUGCAGGGGUUAUGUUCUGGGCCCCCACGAGCAUAAGUGAAAUUGUGUAAAGCUGGGAGCACCCUCUAAACACCCUUUAAAGGCCCUCCCUGCCACUCCCUCAUCAAUCCAUACCAAAAAUACUGUAUCCAAAAAUAUCCACAACCAGAUUGAAGCUCUGGGGUCAGCUGAAGGCUGUGCGGGAAAGCGGUUCUUGCUGCACUACCCCGUGUGUCAGCUGUAAGGCAGGGAGGCUGAGCAGCGUAAACAAAGCUCCACUGUGCCUCUGGUCUCUUUGGAGCAUCCUCUACCCUCACUGAUGUCCUUUUUGGGCUCUGGGGAGGGUCUGCCCUCCUCCACUUCCCUCUUCCAUUGAACUUCCAUCUCCAGGGCCUUCCCCUGUGAUGUCACCUAUUGGCUCCACCUGUGACAUCACCAGGGGCCUCCUCUAGGUCUCAGGUUUGGGCCUUGAAACCUCAGCGUCUUGGAUGUUUCUGACCUGGCAAACCUAAUCCAUUGAGUGGGCAGCUUGCAACUCUCCAUGCACAAAAAGAAGAUCCACAUAGGAGGAUGUUGAGCCCUUUACCCCAACGUCACCUUUCCUUGCAGGCUCUCAGUUUGGCACACAUUGUGCCAGCUGCACUAAAACGCAGCUAUCUAUUAUGCAAAGCAAAUAGCUGCACAGCGGGUGGGGACGUGGAUUUUACAGCGUUUUACCUCUUUGUGGUCCUGUUCCAGAUUGCUUGCUCAAACCUUGCAUACUGAUUUCCCACAGGCAUCUGAUCGGCAACUGUGAGAACAGGAUGCUGGACUAGAUGGGCCAUUGGCCUGACCCAGCAGGCACUCCACCCCUCUCAUAAAAUAUCAAAAGCAUAAAACCGGUAUAUAUCAAAUAUCUCAAUUGCUUUUCAAAUUCAUGAUCGUCAUUUCCUUAUCCAACAUGAAUUUUUAAGCUUAGUGAUGUGGGCUACAACUUACAACCACAGUUACCACUGAAAUUCUUGGCCUGAAAGAUCAUGCCUGCAGUUGUGCUUGGUGACUGGAACGGAAGCUUCCAGAUCCAUUUUAAAAUAUGUUAGGCCUGGUCUAUGGCACCAGCCAAAAAAGUUUUCCCCUCUCCCUCUAGGCCUGUCUACACUGGAUCAUUGAGCAGCACAGGGUCACUGAGCAGCUCAGAUGAGGUAAAUUUGGCUUCUUCUAUCAACCUCCCUGCCCCACAAAAGCAGUUCCUCAUCAUCAAGAUAAUAGCUCUUCCUGCCUGUCAUGAUUGAGAUCCAGAAAGUCUGCCUCUUACGCUCAUCUUUUAAUGUGGGUUGUUCCCCAUGAGCCCUGAGCCAAUCCGUCUCUAUUUCAGCAAAAUCAACCCGCUACUCUUCCACAUGACUUCAUAGUUUUUAUAACAUUUUUAAUAUGGGGGGUUACGCUUGCCAGCGAUGUGCCAAAUUUGGGUGGAAAUGAGAUGGAUCUUGAUUUGGGCAGCUCUAUUUUGACAGGUAGAGAUCAAGGAUUUUCGCUGCUAUAAUAACCAAUCAUCCCUUUCAUUUUUCUUCUGGUUUUCCUUUCCUGACAUCUGAGAUCCGCAACUGACUUCAGCGUAAUCUUACUCCUCACUUUCAGCUGAGCAAUUUUAGAGAGAAGUGCUGUAAGUCUCACAGAUUUACUCAAAUCUACUUGCGUUCCCAAGCCAGGAGGCCUGUGGUAAAAAUCUCUCACUGAAGAUGGUACUGGUUUGAAAUCUGCAACUUUAGGGUUGAAAGCUGGCCCGGGGGUCCGAUUUGGUGUCUCCAUUCUCCAAACCACAGAGACCUGCCCUACACCUGAUAUCAUAUAGGGGGUAAAGAUGUGGCUGCUCACAAAGCCCAUUCCUCCAGAAAGCACGACUGAAACACACACACACACACAAACACACACUGUCCAUCAUCUGAUGUGCAAGGGGUUCAAUCCUGCUUGGUCACUAUCUUCCCCAGUGCUGACCACUCACCUGCCACUCCCCCCUGCUGUGCCAGAAAGGUCAUGCUGAGUCUCUCCAGAGCCCCACACCUAACAAUGGCUCCCUCAUACAAUGCCUAUGUUCCCAGUCUUUCCAGACUGAGUGAAGGAUUGUGGGUGUGGUGGCUGUUCUUCCUACUAUUAAACUUCAAGCAGCCUUUGUCGACAAAGUGGCAGCAGUGAAGGCACUCUUGGAGGCUACCUCUCCCAGGAUUCCUUGCAAUGUGAGUGACCAGUCACCACUGGAGAGCCUUGUGGCAAUGCUACUGCCUGCUCUGCUACAGUGACAAAGUGGCGGUGGCACUCCUAGUCCUAAAUGACAUGUGGUUGGUGGACAGGUGGGCCAGGGGGAGGGUGUGCCAAUCCAAGUCUCACUGUGGCUAAUGGGUGGGCUGUCCCUGACUCCCCCCCACAUUUCUUCAUCCUCCAACCAGGCAAGCAAGAAGCAUUUGCAGAGUGCAAGGACCACAUUCCAACCAGCCCUUGAGGAAAGGGUGGAGCUGUCAUGGAAUUCUACUCAAUAUUGAUCCAGAGUAGAUUCCAAUGUAUAGUUAACAGAGUAAAAACUUAAACAUGUUGCAGGAUUCCCCCAAAAUAGACCAGAGGCAAUUAAUAUUUUAUCCAGCAGAGCUUUACUGCUACUGAAGGCAAAUGAGCAUAAUUUUCACAAAUCCAAUACAUUCAGGAUUUGCACUGUCCAUAAGAAAUCCAGUUGCAGCAGACUUAACUUAAACUUACAAUAACUUAUAAUAAGUCUAAACCCCCAACCAGAUGGGCAGGGUAUAAAUUUAUUAUUAUUAUUAUUAUUAUUAUUAUUAUUAUUAUUAUUAUUACAACACUAUAUACAGAACACCACACCAGAAGGACAGAAGACAGAAAGAAACUGAAACUCAGGCUCCUUCUGGCCAUACUAUUAUAGUCAGCAUGAACUUGACAGAAAGAGAUAACAGAACUAGUUUAAGCCAGCCGUACUCAGCUUCUCUGAAGGAAUAACCCAAACAUCGUGAACAUUCUGCUUGUUUCUUUCACGCAGAGAAGCUUCCAGAACCCUCUUGAAUUAAUUAGAAUAGGAAAGAUCUCUACAUAUCAGAUCAAUACCUUCUGUACUAAGAAAUGCAAACUGACAGGACCAGGGCUGGUGAGGGGUGUGGCCUGGAGCGAGGGGGUGUGGCUUAGGGAGAAACCUCCAGAGUGGACAGUGAGAUCUGGAGGACUGCAUUUGGCCUCCUUGCCUGAGGUGCCCCACCUGUACCUCAGGACAUGUCCACAAAUUAUCCAUUUUUAAGACAUUGUUGACUAGUGUCCCCAGUAGAAGAAUGUUUCUAUAAACAAGGGAAGGGAAAGCUGGAAUUCCUGUGUCAGCAUUUGAGAGCCAGAGUGGUACAGUGGUUAGAGUGUUGGACUAAGACCUGGGAGACCAGGGUUUAAAUCCGCUCUCAGCCACAAAGCUCAUUGGGUGAUCUUGAGCCAGUCUUUGCCUUUUAGUCUAAUACAUCAUCCAUGUAUGGCUCCUUGGCAGAAAGGCGGGACAAAUCAAACAAACAAAUAAAAUAAUAGAAGAGCAAAGUCUUUUACAGUGGUAAAGUGGUAAAGUACGGUGGUACCUCGGGUUACAGACACUUCAGGAUACAGACGCUUCAGGAUACAGACGCUUCAGGUUACAGACUCCACUAACCCAGAAAUAGUACCUCAGGUUAAGAACUUUGCUUCAGGAUGAGAACAGAAAUCGUGCUCCGGCGGCGCGGCGGCAGCAGGAGGCCUCAUUAGCUAAAGUGGUACCUCAGGUUAAGAACAGUUUCAGGUUAAGAACAGACCUCCGGAACGAAUUAAGUUCUUAACCCAAGGUCCCACUGUACUGUGAUCCUGUGAGCUUCGACUCACAUGUGGGCUGUUGAAAUUAUAAUGGUCGGUGACAGAAAAAUGUUUUCCACCUUUGGUCCUUUCUCUCCCUCCCUCCCAUCAUAUAAGAAGAUACUUGGAUUGCUCUCUCUCUCUCUCUCUCUCUCUCUGUGUGUGUGUGUGUAUGUGUGUGUUGUGUGUGAAGCAGAAUUUUCUGCUCCACUCGGAAGAGGAAACCUUCCAGGAAGAAAAGCAACAACAACAACAACAACCCCACUUGCUCCUUAGCAAAUGGUAGAAUUGAAGGAGAGAAGGUGGUAGGAAGCAUAAUGGGCUGUGGCGCUUCUUAAAUCGCAAAGCGUCAUGAGAAGAAAGGGCUGGGUGGGAGAGGGUUGCUAUAGUGAGCGCAACCAGAGGGCCUUAAUGUGUGUGCUCACUGAAAGACUGGCUGUUCCAGCUCAGUGAAGCAAGAUGGACCCAUGCAGCUCUCUGGGAACGGCUCACAGAAACGCCGGCCUCCAGUAGCGAAGCAGAAGUCUGAGGCUGUGCUGUUGUGAGGGAUGGGUGGAUCGGCCCGUUUUGGCUCCUCUCCGUUUCUCGUUUCCCCAGUUUUCGUUCUGUACUUCACAACAGUUUGCAAAUAUGUACACAUCUUUUAAUAUGUGAUUUUGCCUACUAUACUUUCACAAACCACAGAGGAUAAGGCUACUAGCCGUGACUGCUCUGCUCUGCCGCCAUAGUUGGAGGCAGUAAUGCUUUUAAAUACCAAUUGUUGUAAAUCUCAGGAGGGGAGGGUGUGUUUGUGCUCUGGUCCUGGUUGGCAACUGUGAGAGCAGGAUGCUGCACUCAAUGGACUAUUGGCCUGAUCCAGUAGGCUCUUAUGGCUUUUACGCAAUUAAGUUUGAGUCAGAAUAGACCUAUUAAAAUUAAUGGACUGAAGUUAGCCAUGGCUAUUAAUUUAAAUGGGUCUACUCUGAGUAGGACCAGCAUUGAGUUGAACCCCAAUUCUCUCUAAUAUAAUGCAUCAUGUAUGCUAUUUUUUCCAAAUAUAUGCAUUUUAAUGCACAUUCCCCCCCCAAAUUUUUAAUCAUUUUAUAACACAAAUGAACAACACAAACAUGAAAACAGACAAUACAAACAGAUUCUUGUCUUAUCCUUAUUUUUUCUAAACAUUGUUAGGUGGGCUUCCCCAAGUCCCCCUUAUCUGAUUUUCAUUUUACCUCCUCUUUAGCAGUUUACAUAUAUCAUAAUUUCUAAGCAUUUUUUAAAUCAUAGUUACUUUAACCAUAAGAAUCUUCACAUUUUAUCACUUGCGAAUAAUACUAUUUUAAAAUACACUCUCUUCUACUUCUAACCCUACAGCCUAAAUCCACUUCCAAAGCUAUUCUAAGAUUUAAAUAUUAACAUAUUUUUUCAAAUAUUCCUUAAACUUCUUCCAAUCUUCUUCCACCAUCUCUUCUUUCUGGUCUCGGAGUCACCCAGUCAGUUCGGCAAGUUCCAUAUAGUCCAUCAUUUUUAACGCACAUUUUAACCGAGAAUAUGCAUUUUUGUGUGCGGCAAUUGGCUGGAGAACUGCGCUGCAAAUUUCGGAGGUGUGCAAAUUUCAAAGUACGGAUGUGUUUCAGUUCACAAAUUGAUUCAGAAAUUGAUUGCAUAAGUUUGCCUUUAAGUGCAGAAUGGGCCAUGUUUCUUGCCCCAACCCUAGUUAUUCUUCAUGUACCCACUCCAACCCGCCCACCCCGAUUAAACUGAACAAUCUUUCAUGGUACAGAAGACAUUACAGUCAUACAAAUGAGGUUUAAAUAAAACUGGAGAGAAAGAUUUCAGGGUAUCCAUUUCAAUUUCUACCUUCUUUCUGGCAGAUGACCUGACUCUGAAAUCAGAAGUGAAGCUGGACCGCUGAAAAGGAGAUGGAUAUUCCCCCUCUUGAGAAGCUUGGCCUGGGGAAGGGAGGAGGGAGGAAAACGUGGAUCAAUAUGCUACCAGUCCCUGAAUCAAAAGUGCAUCUGCUGAUUUGUCAAAGCAACCUGACACAAAACCGCACCGAACUGCAGAGCUGGGAGAGAAAAGCCUGAUGAAAAAUUCUGUCCCUCAUAGUGCCACCAAACAUUUACGCCGCCCUUCUUCACCAUGUCUUUUGAUGGUUAAGGUAUUUUUUUGUGGGACCUGCCUCUUCUGUAUUGUUCUGGGCUGCUUUUCUUCGCAAUUGUUUGACUUGUUUUCCUAACUGUAUGAACUCCUCAUGCACUCUUAACUUAUAUACCUGUGGACAGCUGGACAAUGAAAGUGGAUUCUGUGAGAGCUUAUGGUGGCAAAGGGACUCAAGCCACAUCCACCCCAUGCAUUUAAACACUAUGUAGCUAAAUCCAAGUAGCCUAUAGUCUAGAAGAUUGUAUUAGAAAGGUCCUGUUCUCUUCCGGCAUUGAUGAAUUGCUUUGCCAAAACCUAGGCCAGCGAGGGAGGAAGAGUAUUCCCCCCCAUGCAACCUUCCUUCACUGCCUUUCCUUCUAAAGAGUGGGUGGCAUGCAACUCAGUUUUACUCAAAGUAGUCCUAUCAAAAAUAAUGGGUCUGACGUAGGGCUGGAUCCAACUAAGUUGUUGCCCAAGCUGAACAAAAUCUGCUUGUACAAUGGAACUCCCCCCCCCUGUGCUCCUCCUAUAUCUGCCCCGGAGGGUUGGGGGAACCACUGGAAUAGGUUUGGGGGGCACAUGGGGGUGGGGAGAAUAGGGGGAGAAGUUCUGUUGUGCGAAAGGACCUUAUUUUGCUCAACACACCCCGCUUAACAUGAUGCUGAAUUCCACCCUCGGUCAUGUUCAUUUUAAUCGGUUUACUCUUGAGUAAAACUUGGUUGACAACCAUCCAGAGAUUUCCAAUAGCCCACUGGGAAGGAGAUGGAGAGAGAUGGUUGCUUACGGAAAAGCCAAAUGGAAACCUCCAGUGGCUUGGCUUGGGACUUCCACUUCUCAUAUAGAACGAGCUUUGAUUUUGAAGUUGAAGGAGAGGUUCAAUUUCACACACCAGGCACUGCAUUAAAAAAAGAGAGUAAAGACCCUGCUAAUAUGUUUUUCUCAUUCUGGUUCUGUAGGCUAAUUCCCUUCUUUAACUUAUCCCAAGAGAGCCCCGUGAAACAGUGCAGGAUCUGCAAAUGGCCAAAAGGCUUUUUAUACAAGCUUUUCUUUUCCCUCUGAAGUUGGGAUAACUUCCUUUUUUUGCUAUUGUUAAAUGAUAAUGAGCAAUAAAAGGGGUCCCCCCCACCUCCCCCAACAGACAGGCCCCAAGGCUGCGGCACAUUACAUGCGCAUUUUUAUUGGCCUGACGCUGCUAAAUGGAGUCAUUCUUCCAAUGUAAACUGAAGUCUGCUGCCUUUGAUGUAGGCAAUGGCAUAUCUCCCUCAGAUGUUUAGACUUGGAUUAGAGCUGCAUACAAUAUUCAGGAAUGAGUUCUGGCAAAGCAGACAGGACGGCAUAUUAGGGAUCUGAUGAAAGGUUCCAUCUGAUCAUUGCAUCACCCGCAGAGCCUGCGAGUAAUAUCCUCGACAGACGCCAGUAUUCUUCACUGGAAAUGCCUGCACCACAUACCUUCUGUAUUGGGAUUAGAAAGGCAUUACGCGCCUUUCAUGGGAGGCAAUGAAAACCUGGUUCCAUGGACACGAUCCAGGCCAAGUUCCCAAUGUUUAAAUCCCAUUGAUUGCAAUGUGAGAGACUUCGAAGGUUUGCUUUGCUUUCAGCCUGUAACUCAACAGAACUUGUAAAUGCUUGAUUUUGGCUGAAUCAUAUUCAUUCCAUUUCCUAUGUCUGCAUGAAGAUCUUACCUCAGACAAUUCCUGCUCAAGUGGUAAAUUAAGGCUACAGUUCUAUUCACAGUUAAAGGUAAAGGUAAAGGGACUUCUGACCAUUAGGUCCAGUUGUGGCCAACUCUGGGGUUGUGGCGCUCAUCUCGCUUUAUUGGCCGAGGGAGCCAGCGUUUGUCUGCAGACUGUUUUUCCGGGUCAUGUGGCCAGCAUGACUAAGCCGCUUCUGGUGAACCAGGGCAGCACAUGGAAACGCCGUUUACCUUCCCGCCGGAGCAGUACCUAUUUAUCUACUUGCACUUUGAUGUGCUUUCGAACUGCUAGGUUGGCAGGAGCAGGGACCGAGCAACGGGAGCUCACCCGGUUGCAGGGAUUCGGACUGCCGUCCGUCCGAUCGGCAAGUCCUAGGCUCUGUGGUUUAACCCACAGUGCCACCUGCGUCCCUUACUAUUCACAGUUACUGGGGAGUAAAUCCAGUCAAACUCAAUGAGACCUAAGUUUCAGUCAGCAAACACUGGUAAGCAUCCUUACACAUACUUCAUUCUUUCGCCACACCCUAUUCCAAGAGCAGCAGAGGCUACAACCUCAGGAAGUUGAACCCAGAUGCUAUGACCCACUUUGGUGUUGGUGGGGAUGUCAUCUAGUGUCUGAAAAGGCAUGCCUUAUUCACAGUGCUUUUUUUCUGGGGAGACGCAGGGG